CUAGGUUUACUCAACCUAGAAUCAAAAAUUACAAUCGAGUGCCCUAAGUUUGAAAAUUUGAAUAACGAACAUGAAAUUAACAAACCCUUUCUGAGUUGCUGUAAAAACUCUGUUAUGUUAAACAACCAUCAAGAGAAAGAGGAUGAGAUUAUAUUUACAAACUAAUAUUUUUUUUAUAUUAAUAUCAAUCGAACAGUGUUUUUGUUCAUCGAAACCACUGAAUUUAAUCAUACACGUUAAGUUAUAUAAUUAAAACCAAUAGACAGUUUUUACUUUUUAGCUAUGAGAGAAAGUGGGUCUAGAUUCUGUAGGAAUUAUAGUGAAAGUUAAUAAAAAUUUAGCGGUAGGUAGAAUUAUUUAAUGGGAUAAAUAUAUUUAAAGAUAUUUUUUAUAGUUGUAAUAUCAUAAUUAUCAAGCGUUAAAAAAAUACAUUUAAAAUGUUUUAAAAUUGUAGUUCUUAAUCAAAGAAAUAAAUAGUUAGACAUGACAUUUAUCAAUAGUUCAUGAUCUAUUUUAAUAUAAUAGAUAUUUAGACUAAAUUCAAGCUUCAUAUAAUAAGAACAGAAAUUGGUGAGAAUGCACCUAGUUACUAAUGUAAUGUGUCAUGUACCAUUUGUUUAGAAAUAUAUUUGUAUUUGACGGUUUUGUCCCUGUCACAUACGCCGAUCUACACUCAAUAGGUCUGGGUCGGGUGUGGCUGAAUGUCUGAGGACUGUCUUCAACCCAUUGGACAAAGAAAGGUUUCAUGCCUUUUCAGAUUCUGCAAUUGAAAGAGCGUGAGGCUACUCUGUGGUUUUCAAGCAUCGAACAGUUGCAUUUAUUCACACAUUUCCAACCACUCAUUCGUCUCCUAUAUACAUAAUUUUGGUCAUAAUACAUUCUCAGCCUCCUCAAGUAAACCCUAAAUUACCCAAUCGUCCCAAUUCUUCUCCCAAAUCGUUGAGAUGGAGGAUCUUUUGCUUCCCCCCCAGAAUGUUCGCCGCCGGCGAAGAAUCCAUUGGAGAGCGUGUCAACUCGUAUCACAAGUUAAAGCGGACCGAGUUGCUUAUCGAUGCUCUUGAACCGGAAGAGUUAGAGUUUCUGAGAAAUUCUACUUUUGGAAAGAUUCUCGCGAUAGAGGAGAACCCGCCGUUUUCAGGUGCGUUUGGGAAAUAUGUCGUUGUUAGGCUUCUGAAAGUGAACAAAAAAUACGAGGUUUGGUUCAUCUUUCCUGGAAGCCCUGUUAGAAUGUCACUCCGGGAGUUUGCUAUCGUCACCGGACUAAACUGCCGGAAGAUCCCAGAACCAACUAAGAAGAGGAAAAACCCUCUGAAAGAGAAGCUGUACUAGAACGAACUACUUGGCUCAUUGAAGUUCUGCACUGUUGACACAGUGAAGAGCAAAGAGGCGUGGAUUAAGCUCGCUUGCCUUGCAAUCACGUAGUCGAUUCUAUUCCCGUCCUUACACACACCUCGCAUCAUCCCGGAGCAUGUUGAACUGAUUCGAGAUCUAGACGAGUUCCUCGCAUUCCCUUGGGGGAGAGCCUCAUACCACACGCUUGCUACAUCUCUUAUUUCGAAGGAUGAAAUAUCAUUAUCGCAGGCGUCUGUUGCGAUUCGUGGUUACGUUGAUGCAAUUCAACUAGUUCUUCUUGCCGCCAUCCCUUAGUUGAAGGAAGAAAUCACACAGUCCGAGCAUACUGUUAUUGUGGAUUCCGAGAGCGAGAGCGAGAACCCGAAUGAAGAGUUAGCUUUAGAGGAUGACAACGCGGUGCCGCACGACAAACCAUCUGAGGCGACCAAGUAUUGUCUUAUCCCCGGGCAUGCUAAGAGCAUAGAUAUCGAGUGCCAGGGAACAAAUAAUCCGUAACAUGAUGUGUUGGCAUCUUAUUUAUGUGUUAACUCGCUCUGUACGAAGCAUUUGAUAAGAUUGUUUUAUUGUACUAAAACGGUUAGUAGCUACUAACAGAUAGAUUAGUUGUUAACUGCAAAGGAUAAGCUAGCUCCCAAUCAGGUUCUCUUUACACGAAACAAUACUAGCAAAUCAAUUUCAGAGGUGUUAGAUAUCCAGCGUUAAACUUGACUGGUAACUUCCCUUGUUUCCGUAAAUCUGAUAGUUAGCGGAUAAAUCUUAUCUUUGACGCAAACGUUUGUGUAUUAUGUAUGCGCCUGUGAAACGAAUCCAUUAUGUUGAUGUUAGAUUGUUAGAUGUACAGUUGACUGUUAACUUAUUACGGUAUCGUAAACCUGUUACUUAGCGGGUUAAUCCUCUCUAACACGCAUCCGGUUCACGUUUGUGCAGGUGUCUGUCAAGUCUAUUCUAGAUGAGCCGUACGAGGAAUGGUCCGCUGGUCUAGAUUUCUCGUGGGUCGAUGAGUCCGAGGAUUUGGAUGUAGAGAACAUGGUUCGAUUGAUUUGUGAGGGUUUUUUUAUUUCAGAAGGAAAUGUUCAAAGGUGGUCUAAACGCAAGUGAUCUUUUGCGUUUGAGGGGAGUGAAGAAACUCAAGGAGAAAGAACCGAAGGAAAAAACGACAAGGAUCACUGUGGGAACCGAAAUUCACACCGUCGAGUUUUGUUAAUCGGAGGAAAGCCAAGUUAACCUAGCCUUCCCUGAAGGUCCCGGUUAUCUGCUGGGCCACACACGACACGAUCAAUAUUAAAGAGUAAAAUGAAAAUAAGCAGAAAAAGAGAAUAAGAGGAUCUUAUUUCUGAAUUCGCGUUUGAGCGUGAACAACAAGUAAAGACCUAGGCUACAAGAGCUGUCGGUACGUUCGCUAGUCUAGCGACCUAAAUCUAAACUAGUUGAGUCGCAGCUCGAUUAGUAAAAGCGGAAAAAGAUGCCUAAAUUGCUCUAAGUGCUAAGUUGCUCUGGUGUGUUCCUGUUUUUCUCUUCGUCCUAGGUCCUCCUUAUAUACUCCUCCUUAUGUCAGUUUACCUCUUCUCGGGCCGGAUUUGUCGCGAAGCAGGCUUUUCCAUAUUUCCUUCUUCUUCGUGAUUAUCUUCGGAAAUUUGACAUUUAUCUCUUCCAGCGGAUGAGAUAAACCGUCAUACCAGUCUUUGGGCUCAAGUCUUUUGGGACCAUAGAUGGGCCGUUGUCCGCAAUUCGGACCCUCUUUAGGCCGUAUAGAGACUUAAGCAUUUUUACGAUUUUACUCGCGAAGUAGCCGUUGACAUAGGCAUGGUUCUUCCAACGGAACCCUGUUUCUUCGCAUAGCCGAGGCAGUUGGUGUAAAGUUAACCGUAGUCUACUCUACUACGAAGAAUAGGAAACCGUUCGAGAGACAUAACCUUCCCAACUUCCCGAAUACUUUCGACGAUGUUUUUUAGACAGAACAUUGGUGUCGUAUCCACGGACCCGAAGACUGAGUUACGGAAACUUCGGAUGAAGAUGCAUGGUUUCCCCAGCUAGAUAGGAUCCGUGGACCUGGGUGUUAGGUCAUAGCUUGCGGUAUGGUCUGUUCUAAGUGGAAUUAGACGUAAUCGUUUGUCGAAAGAUUGAAGGUGAAUAGUAAAAAAAAAGUAAGGGAAGUAAGUUUUUCAAAUUCUUUACUCACUUCUUCCAUUAAGAAAAGAUUCCUCCAAGAUAGAAAUUUUUUCUCCAAGAUCUCUCUUUGCUCAAAGAAAAGGUUUCGGAAGGAGGUCGGAGAACAGAGCCGGAGACAGGCUGAGCUCCAUUCUUGGGCCCUUGUCCGUGCGGAGAGGAUAGGAAAGAGAGCGAUUGUCGCCGAAAUGAAGCGGAGGGUUGCUUUGUUUGCCACCGAAUUCAAGAACUUUAAGAAUGCUCAAGAAUUCGUGGGCGAUUUUCGCGAGUGCCGUGGCUCGGUUGCUACCCUCUACAAGUCGUAGAACGAGGACUUCUCUUUUCCUGCCGAGGUCGCUGAGAUGUCGGGUCUUAUGAACGGGUGUGCCCAUGCCGAAUCCUUGGUUCCUCCGAUCAAAGGAAGGGUCCGACAGCUUUGGGAUUCCAUCGAGGUCUCGGAGGACACGGCGGACGCGGGAACCGGUGUUGGUGAUGAAGGUGCCGGAGUCCCAGACGGAGAGGUGGACCAGCCUGCGAGCUCGUUCGGGGUCUCCAUGUCCGGGUUCUUCGACUUUGUACUUUGAGGAUUGUUGAGAUUAUUUCCCUUAGUUUUAUUUCGAGGUUUGAUGUAUCUAGGCCGAGUGUGGCCGUAUUUGAUUUAUGUGUGUUAUGGCCUUGCGAGGCUAUGUGAACUAUGUGUUUGAGACUGGCCGUUUGGUGGCUUUGGGUCCUAGCCGUUUUUUGCGGCUUCUAUAUAUAUGAUGAAUGAUUGACAUUCUGUGCGUUUUAGUUUAUACUUCUGCCAAGUGUGAGGGAAAGAUACGAGUAGUCACUUCGUAUCUUAACUCUUAGUUUAUCGUCUUGUUCGUUUGCUCUUACUGAACGAGGGCGUUCGGAAACGUUUGGGAGUUUCGCGAAGUUUCGUGAGCGUAUUAGAUAAAGACGAUGGGACAUGUUUUUAAGAUCUCGUAUCAUGUCUUGAGAUGUUAGUGGACCAGUAGGACUGGGUUUAGGGCAAGACCUAGGUUUACUUUCGGCUCUAAGGCUGUGCGACGACUGAUCGGCUCUCGUUUUGCCUGUGGGCGAUUUCCACCUGGUUCUUUCCGAUUUAAAGUCCGCGACUUGGCGCCGGCUUAUAUGACUUGUAUGGAACGAACCGAGCACUCUCCAGAGACCGUCUGGAGUGCUGACCAAAAUUUUGGAUUUCUUGUAUAGCGCGCUAUGGUAUCCUCGUCGGAUGUAAGAGAACCUUUACUUUUACGAAAGGUUAGACUACGAGUUCUUUUUUGAGAACGUUUUGGGUUUGUCUGUCGGGGCCAAUCGACGGGCAAUUUUUGUUUUUAGAGUCGCGGACGGACCGUGUGUUUGGAUAAUAUCUCUCAAAAAUAUUUACGACGUCUCGCUUUUUCCGAAAGGUAUAUCCUUUGUAGUGAGAAAGUUACGAUCUUCGUUUUUAGAGAAGAUGUAUUUGGUCUUGCUUGACCAUUGAUACGCAGUGAUUGUUGUUUAAGUUAGUUCUCAUCCAAGUUUAAGUUAGUUCCCAACCAAGGACUGCUUGAAAGGUAUGUGUGUUUGGAAACCCUUAUCUUGGGUGUUUCUCAGGUUAAUCUCCGAUUGUUGUGUCUUAUUGCAAGUGAAUCGAGAGACCGAAAUAAAAUGAGUUUUAUUUUGAAGUUUCGAAAAUAUCGAGUACAUGUGUGGAUAUUCCGAACUUUGUGGGAGUAUACGAGUAUACGUACCCACUUCCCCCCCCCCUUUUUGGAGAGGGGGAUAACUGAACUUGUCAAUAGGACAAGCUGCCUACGUACCUCUUUCGAGGAUCAAGCCAUCUCGUAGUUCUGCUUUGUUGUUGCGGCCGUUCCUACUCGUUGGAUAGGGCCGUUUCUGUUACUUCGGCCGUUGAGGCUUUAUUUAAAUCGGCGGCCGUUUCGUGAGUUGGGUUUUCCACUGGUAGGGCGAUGGACUACGGGAUCGCGUCGCUGUCCAGGGCCGUUGCCUGGGCGAGUGAUUCCGAAUCGCUCUUUGUGGAACCUUCGAGAGUACUCUGAGUUUUCUUGACUCGCUUCGGGCUAACCGCAGGGGUGUUCCGAGUUUGUCGUAGCUUAUGCUCGACCAAAAAGCAGAGCCUAGAUUGUUUCUGGCAUCCCCUGAUUACUGCUGUUCCGUUUGGUGUCGGGAACUUGAUGCUAAGGUGGUAAGUCGACGGUACCGCCUUCAUUGCGUUGAUCCAUGGCGUUCCCAUGAUAACAUUAUAGAUGGCCGGGUUAUCGACUACGGCGAAGUCAACGAUUUUCGUGACUUCCCUUGCCAUGACCGGAAGUUUGAUAGACCCGAGGGUCAUUGAUGCUCUGCCCGAAAAACCGGUCAGGGGUUUUGGUUCUGGGAUGACUUCCCCGAGUUCGAUGUUCAUUCUCCGGAGAGUGUCGCGGAAAAUGACGUUGACCGUGCUGCCUGUGUCGAUGAGGAUUCUUCCCACUUCGAGAGCUCGAAUCACCAAGUCGAUGACCAGCGGGUCGCAGUGAGGUUUAUCGAGUCCGACGGUUUCCUCCUCCUCGAAAACAAUUGUAUCGUUUGGAGCGUUGUCGGUCGGGGACUGAGUCGUCCAGUUAGAACUUGUUUCCGCCUUUCUUCCGUAGGCCUUGAUGGAUGAAACAAAGUCGCGGUAGAAUUACGAUUCUCCGAUGAUCAUGUUUAUCCUCCGGCGGGUACUAUUGUCUCCAUGGUCAUCCUGCCUUCUUCCGCGUUUCUCGCCAGACUGGUUUGCGUGUGCGUCCCUCUCGGGAGACUCUUUAUCAGUCUUGGGAGGGCGGUCGGAAUCCAGGAUGAGGUCUUUUAUGCUAGUGACCUUCGAGAGGUCGCCAGCGAGGAGUUUUGCGGCUAGCCUUGCGCCGAGAACUUUGCAGUUCGUAGUGGAAUGACCUUUGGUCUGGUGGAACUCGCAGUAGGAGUUAUCCUUGUACUGGUUCCUGGUCCAGGUGUUUCCGGAGGUCUUUCCUUGUUCGGAAUUGAUAGUGUAGUUGUGCUCGCCCUGGACGUCUUCUCCCUCGUGGUGGACAUACUUGUCGUUUCGAGAGCUUUUCUUUUUCGUGGGCGUCUUCUGCGGGUUGUACUUUUGGGAGAGGAUUUUCAUCUCCUCUUCCAUUACGAUGAAGUCCGUUGCCUUAUGAAGAGUGUCCUAAAUCGUUCUCGAUUUUUCGAGGGAUAUCCAUUGCUGGAAUUUCAAGCGGUACCAGAGAGUUUUCUUCAGAGCAUCGAUCGCCACUUUGUCGCUGAUCCCGGUGACUCUUGCCAUUACAAGCUUGAAUCUGUUCAUGAACUCGCGAAGUGGCUCGUUUUCUCUUUGAGUCAGGCUCCAGAGAUCGACGUCCGAGGUUUCUCUGUCCAUGAACAUGGAAUACUGUUUGAGAAACUCUGAAGCAAGUUGGCGGAAACUUCCGAUGGAAUUUCGUUUUAGGCGAGAAAACCAUUCGAGCGCGGCUCUUUUGAGGUUUUCGACGAAGAGAAGGCAGUAGCCAGCGUCUCGUUCGCGUUCCUUGAGUUUUCACCUCCCCAUCGCGAUCUGGAAAGACUGCAGUUGCGCUUUCAGGUCGGUGGUGCCAUCGUAGAUGGGAAUUUUGAUCUUCCCUGGGUCCGAGACGUUGGUCUCAGUAAUCCGAGCAGUGAACGGGGUUUUGCGUGCUUCCUCGAGAAGUCUGUCGAUCUCGGAUGCAGCGCUUGUCGCGUGGUGGAUUUUUGAUUUCACCACUUUCACCUCCGCUGUGGUUUUCACGGUGUACUCGCGGAGAUCGCGGAUCUCGUCAGGAUUUCUGGCAGCCUUGCGAGCUUGUCUGUGUUGGCUGCGGUGGCUCUUUUUCUCUUUGUCAUAGGUCCUCCUUAUAUACUCCUCCUUAGGUCGGUUUACCUCUUCUCGGGCCGGAUUUGUCGCGAAGCAGUCUUUUCCAUAUUUUCUUCUUCUUUGUGAUUAUCUUCGGAAAUUUGACAUUUAUCUUUUCCCGCGGAUGAGAUAAACCGUCAUACCAGUCUUUGGGCUCAAGUCUUUUGGAACCAUAGAUGGGCCGUUGUCCGUAAUUCGGACCCUCUUUAGGCCAUAUCGAGACUUAAGCGUUUUUACGAUUUUACUCGCGAAGUAGCCGUUGACAUAGGCAUGGUUCUUCCAACGGAACCCUGUUUCUUCGCAUAGCCGAGGUAGUUGGUGUUAAGUUAACCGUAGCCUGCUCUACUACGAAGAAUAGGAAACUGUUCGAGAGACAUAACCUUCCCAACUUCCCGAAUACUUUCGACUUGGCCGCGCUCGCCGGGCGAGCUGAUCUGUUCCACGGCCGAGCUCGCCGGCGAGUCGACCGGCAACACGGUCGUGCUCGCCGAGCGAGUUGGCUCGUGUCUUGGUCGAGCUCGCGGGGCGAUCCGUUUCGGCUAUUCGUUUCCUCGGUUUUUGAAGUUUUGAACGAGAUUCGGUUUUUCUAAGGACUUUCGGAAAUCGAUUCCGUCGUGACCGAUGUUGACCCCAACAAUCACGCCGCGGAGGUGACAGAUGGCGAGGGUUCCGACUCUCAAGUCCACAUUUUAAUAGCUAAUUUGGUUGCAUCACAGCUAGUCGAGAAGUCCAGAUCUCCCGCCUCCGACUUAUGUGAUGAAAUCAGCUCGCUGGAGAAGCGUAUUUAUCAAGCACUAGACGCUAAGCUAGAGAAAAUUGCUUCAUCAACUAUUCAAUCCCAGCAAUUAGCUAUCCUCCAAACUACUAUCGCAUGAUGCCUCCAGGACAUUGAUAAGAAGAUUGGCGCUGCCCUCGUUGGUCAACUGAAGAUCAUGCAAGCUGCGAUACUCAAGGGUGUAACUGAACUCAUUGACCAGACCAUUUUUAGCCGCGAUAUUUCUGUUGAGCAUACGCUUUUCGGCAAAUCUUCUGAGUUUCUUCCACAGCAAGACACAACCGCCCCCCUGUCAACGACAACCUUCCAGUCGUGCCUGACAUUAGUACCCCAUCGGAAGCUGCUGAUUUUCGCAUCAGCAAGGUGCUGCGUGAUCUGAACAUAGUACCUGACCAUUCUCUCCCACCAAACACAAAUGUUGAUCUUCCAAGGAACCUCCCGAGCGCGGUGGGUCUUACGCCGAUGAUAAUCCUGAUCCUGAGUUGGUGAGAUAUCUUAUUUUUAGUUAACUCAACCAUUUGUUAUCUUUCAUUCCAAAACUCAUUUGUUUCCACUUUUUAUUUGACAAAACCCUAUUAGGACACCGCGAACGAAUCGUCGAUCCAGAUCUCAAUUGCUGCUGACUCACAACUCCCGAUUGAGUACAAGUGGAGGAUUUAGUAGUAGCCAACAACAUUACUGAACAUGUAAGAUGAUAAGCUAGCAAUUAAACCCAAACUUUGCAGCUAAAAAUUUACCGUGCUGUGCAGACCGAACACAUCUUAGAUGCUAAUAAAACGCCGGACUUGGUAAAUUAACUAUUAACUGCUAAGUUUAUGUCGGAUAACCAUCUUGUGUAUAUGAAUGCUAACACUCCCUCCCGCUGCACGUAGGAGAACAAUCAAUCACUGGGAGUUUCAACUAUGGUUGUUGAGAAGCCUCUCUCCCAAGAGUUUGAGAUGGAUGAGGUAAUUCUUGGUCUCUAACCAUAUCAUUUCACUAUAUAUGUAUCUAUCUAUCCUCGUCCUUUCCAUCUCGCUGAUGUGUAAUGUAUAUUCACACACACUCAGAUGCAUAUACCUUUUUAUCUACAAGAUAUGCCGUCUUUCUCACUCGGGCUCUCGCAGGAAGAUGCCCCAGGUGUGGAGAAGUCGCCCAACCCGACUAACUACGUUUCACCACCCAAGGCACAUGAGGAAGAGGCACCGGAGCCGCGCAAGAGCAAAAGGUCUAGGAUAAUCCCUGCUGGACUUCAAGACUACAAGUGUGAUCCAAAAGUCAAAGCAGGGCUAUGCAUUAUCCCUGAUGUAGACCACCGGUUUACGCUAAUGGAGUAGAAGGUUAUGAAGGAAUCGUAAGUAACCCCCCAACCGUUUUAUACUGCAAGCCUAAAAUUAUUAGUUGCAUCUACAAACAUUUUUAACCCAUUAAUUAAAUUGUUACAGAGAAAUAAAGUUUCCUAACGGCUACUCCAUGCCAUCGCUUGAGUUCUGUGAUAUUGCCUAUCGUACCACCAUAUUACCUACGGGGGUAAGCAACACUUCUCAGAUGUUUAGCAAGUUUUGACAUGUAUGCUUAACGAUAGUUAUUCGAUUCAGGUCGUUGACACCCUUAUCGGAUUUGUGUCUCGUGGCCCCACGGUUGGUCCCAAUGUUGCCAUAUACGACACUUAGAUCUUAUGAACCACAACAAUCGGUUUGUGAAGACCGCAGCAAGGACUGUUCCAAGCUUAAGUUCGCUGACGUCCCGCUGGAGAAACACUUGGAGAAGUCGCAUGAGAGGAUAUAUUUUCCAUUUAACAUGGACAAACAACACUGGGUUGGAGUUUGUAUCAAUACCAAAGCGUGCACUCUCCAUGUUCUGGAUUGCAACACAUCUUUUCGAAGCGACAGCUCGCUGAAGAAAGAGCUAAACCCUAUUGCUACCCUCCUCCCAUACGUUCUUAAGCAGUUUGGCUUUUUAGGAACCAACGCCGGUGUCAAGGCCUUUACCGUGUCCAGAUGCAAGGGAAUACCACAGGUAUCUAGUCAAACUGAUUCCGGAGUCAUGACGGUCCUGUUGAUUGAAGCUCACGCUGGGGGUGGUCUUGGUGCUUGCAAGGCAAUCACUCCACGUCUGCUUCCAAACGCAUCCAAGCAAUUGGUGGUCAAAUUCUUUGAUGACAUCUCUAUGUAACCGUCUUGUUUCCCUCUUCCUACGAACUCAGGCCUAUGUGUCCAGCUUAUGUUGUUGUUUUUAAAUCUUUCUUUUGGAACACGCCCUACUAUCCAACAAAUUUGGAAUUUUAUCGCCCAACGUUAACUCAAAAAAUCGUCGUUAUUAGUUAACAACCUAUGUAGUUUGAAUAAAUCCUAACUUAGCUAGCAACUUAUUUAUUGCUUGUUAACACGGCUAGACUUAGCUAGCGGCCAACAUAUAUCCUACCUGCUAACACGCAUCUUAGAUAUCAAUUGCCCAAAAGCUUACCAUCAUUUAAUGUUUUCACUUAUGAGAAUUAUUAAGUUAUAAAUGAUAACACUGAAGUUAGCGGCCAACAUAUAUCUUACCUGCUAACACGCAUAAUUUUAUUGCUUGUUAACACGGCUAGACUUAUCAUUUUAACAACUAUUAAAGCUAACAUAACUCUGAAGUUAGCGGCCAACAUAUAUCUUACCUGCUAACACACAUUAACUUUAAGUAAUUGCUACAUUUGUCAAUUCGUCGUUAUUAGUUAACAACCUUUGUAGUUUGAAUAAAUCCUAUCUUAGCUAGCAACUUAUUUAUUGCUUGUUAACACAGCUAGACUUAUCAUUUUAACAACUAUUAAAGCUAACAUAACACUGAACUUAGCGGCCAACAUAUAUCUUACAUGCUAACACGAAUUAACUUUAAGUAAUUGCUACAUUUGUAAAUUCAUCGUUAUUAGUUAACAACCUAUGUAGAUUGAAUAAAUCCUAACUUAGCUAGCAACUUAUUUAUUGCUUGUUAACACGGCUAGACUUAUUAUUUUAACAACUAUUAAAGCUAACAUAACACUGAAGUUAGCGGCCAACAUAUAUCUUACCUGCUAACACGCAUUAACUUUAAGUAAUUGCUACAUUUGUCAAACCGUUUUAAAUACAUAACACUCAUAUAGAUCAAAUUUCACCUCGUUCUACAAUGGACUCUUUCCACAUAAAACCCUUAUUCUCUGCUCUCAUUCAAAUUAAAUUUCUGAAAUAUCAUUUAUAAUAAUUCUCCGAAGUUAACGGAUAACAUAACGUUUACAUGGUAACCCACACUAACCUAUGGUAUAACGAUGUUAAAGCACUUGAUAAUUUAUCGCCCCCGCUAUAUAUUACCUUAUGCACCAUAAGUAAUUUACCACCAUAAGCAGCCAGACUUAUCAUUUUAACAACUAAUGCAGCUAACAUAACUCUUAAGUUAGCGACCAACUCAUUUAUUGUAUGUUAACAUAACUAUGCUUUUAGCGGCCAACUAAUAUAUUUCAUGUCAAAUCGAAACAUAUCAAUCCAUGAACUAAAGCAUUGCGAAUAACUCGAAGUUAACGGCUAAUUUAACAAAGACAUAAAUUUCAUAACAUAAAAUGGGGGAGUUUUUAUUAUACUCUACAUUGCACAUACACAUGCGUCAAUGUGAGAAGCUUAUGGGAACUUAGUUUUACUACAUGAUAACAAAAAAAGGUCGCCCCAGAUCUGAGUGUUACAAAAGAAACACAACAACUCCACUCACCCCUAUAUACUUAGUCUUCAUCUCGAUCUUCAGAUCGGCAUCUUACAAGUGACCUUGUUAUGGUUUGUUCCUCCACAUAUGCUGCAGGUUCUGCGGUGCUUUAAAGCACCACUCAUUUGCAUGUUGGUAGUUAAUUACAUGUUAACAGAGUGCUUAGACGUUAGUAUACAUCGUAACAAGUAAAGUAAAUAAAUCACACCAAAGAUACUAACCUUGAAUUCCCCACGCGAUGGAAUUCUGGCAUUUCUCGGUCUCCCAGGUGGGCGGCGAGUUGCUGGAGGUAGAAGGUGGCCAUCCUCUCCAUCCACACCAAACUUGUACACAUCAAUGUUUGCUUGUUCCGCUGGGUUGAUGCUCCCACUGUACGCUAAUCCCCAGUACGUGUUGCUGUAAUACACAGCCACCGUACUCUCCACUGACUCCCGUGCAUAUAUGAUGCAUGACUUUUCAACGGUCCAAGAUCAAAUCAAUGUAGUAUAAAAGAUUGUCGAACCCACAGAGAACUAGAGACUUAUACACCAAGAAUACACAAGCUAUCUUAAUCUAAGCAAACAAGAAGAUGGAUGAUUUGUAACAAGCUAAGAUCCUAGAAAUAUAAACAAAGUGAUCUCAAAUCCAAUCAAGAAACAAGUACAAGAACUCAAUCAAAUGCUAAGGAUGGAUUCAUGGGUAAGGAUAAUUGAUAUAAGGUGAUCAAGGUUCAAUCUAAAGGUGGCAACUUUCAAUCAAUCUUUCAACCUUAUGCAUAGACACAACACUAAGCAAACUCUUUCUCAAGAUGGAAGCUCAUUUGCUAAAAUAACUCAAGCAUCAAAUCUCUUUGGUUGAAUAUUACUAGAGCAAUCAUGGAGAACAAGUCUAAUAGCAAUCCUAGCACCUUUGACAUCAAAUCUCUUUGGCAAAGCAAGCUAAAAGCCUUGAAGAGUUGGUUCAGGCAUUUCAUCGAACACCUCUCGGACGUGAAAUGCCUAGAGAUCUAUCUUAGAUAGGCCAACUCUAAAAUAGCAUUGAGAUCACUCAACAAACAAGAAAUAAGAAGGAUCUACAAUAAAACACCGUAGAUCUACACUUAAUCACUCUAAUCUACCUUAACCCAUGAAUCCAAAAUGUGUCUACUCACUAAUCUCCAUAGAAAACCUUAAAUCUAUGGGAGAUUCAAGGCUAAUCAUGUUUAUGAGAAGGAGAAACAAGAUAUAAGAUGAAGAACUUCUUUAGAUUAAUGAAAAGAUUCAAGCUUUAUAAAAUGAGGCAAUGUGUGUUCUUGAGAGAAAAUGAGAUAAGUCCCAACUUGGGGAUUACAAGAGUAUUUAUAUGGUCUUUGGAAAACCUAAUGGUUUCCAUAGAAAAGUCUAAAAUGCCCUUUGAAAAUGUUGAUUUUCGGCCAAGGUAAAGACGCGACCCGGGUAGAUGCCAUGGUCGUAACCCGCGUCGGCCAACCCGCGUCAGCUCCUCGUCCAGCUUCUGGGAGGCCGCCCGGGUAAGCUAACCCGCGUCCAUCUACCCGCGUCAGGGUUGAUAUGCCUCUAGUAAAUCGAUCAUAACUCGUCCAAUACAGCUCCAAAUGACUUGAAACCACUUCCAUUAGAAAGAUAACUCAAUUUCCCACGUCACCCCAAAACUUGAGCUUCAAAAGAUAUCUUUAAGGUCUCCAUCCAUGUUCAUCAUUCACCCUUUUGCACAACAAAUAUCUCUAAACACCUCUAAUAACUCCAUAGCACACUCCAGCCCCUAAUAAAGACCCAUGUAUGCAAAAUGGACCCUAAAGAUGCCUAAUUCCUAAUCUACAUGAUCAUUAUGUACAAGAAAUGAUUGUUAAAACCAUGUAAAUAUGCAAGAUAUCAACUCCCUCACACUAGUCAUUUACUUGUCCUCAAGUAAACUUUUCAAAAACUCAAGAAGGAGAGAUAUAAAGAUGGGAGCUUAUAACCAAAAGAGACACUUACAGCACUCAACUUGACAUCCUAAGGAAACAUAGCAAAUAGGAUGAGCACACUCUCUUAUUAUACUCUAGCUUCUCAAGGCCUAUCAAUACUCUUAUGCCUCUACACAAGUUACAAUACUCAUCAACUAACAAGUUCCUUCAACCAGCUCUCACAUUGAUUCACACACACACACACAAUCUGAAUUCUCACAAAUGGGCACAUGAUCUUAAUCAUUUGGCUAGGUAAGCAAUGGUCUAUAUGAAUGAAGAGAAGGAUUCAAAUGUAUUCAUUUCAAGGUGGUUAUCACUCAAAAACAAGGAGCUUGAUCAUUAUGCAAAAUUUAUCUAAGACUAGAAGCAAUUCAUGCAUACAUAGAUCCAUUCUCAUCAGUCUACCAUUUUUCUAAGUGAUCACAAGUUCUACCCUUUUCAUCCCCAUCUUAAAGCCAAAAUAACACUCACUCACAUCACUCACCCAAUGAACAACUCUCUUUUUCUUUUGACUCCAUCAACUAGGGACUUUAAUUUUCUUUUUACAAUACUUAGCUCUAACUCUUUCUCAUUUCCCUCCCCACUUUCUCUUUGAUUCUCUUUUUUUUUAUAAGCGAGAAGGUCAUUUGUACAUAAUCUAGAGCUUCAUACUUUUCUUUUGUCCCUAGAGUUUUUUUUUUUUAUAUGACACUCUUUUGUUCAUCUUUCUCAUAUUUUUCACUCCCAAAACCCAAGAUAUUAACAUUUAGAACACACAAACCCCUCUCACCAUCCCCAAAUGCUAGCUCAUUUUGCUAGCAAGAGAUGAGAACAAAUCUAUGUCGCCUCCAAUACUCUCAAGAUUUUUCAUAUGACAAGCUAUCAAAAGAGGCCUCACUCAUGCAAUUCAAUGUUUGGUCUCAAAGAAUGGCUAGGGUUGUAGGGUAUGGAGUGUCAUUUGGGUUAACAAAGAUUGGUAUAAUGGAACAAGAUAACCUAAAUGUGUAUGAGAUCCAUGAUGAAGUAUGCAAAUGCCCAUAUGCAAGAGAGAUUAAGUUCAUUCAAGCGAAGUUCAGAUUGGAGCUGAUCUUAAGAACAAUGCCAAUAUCAAGCAAGCAAACAAGUUUCAAGAAGAGUUUUCAAGGCUCGAAGCAUGCAAGGCUUUCAAGAGAUGCUUAAGCUACUUGAUAUGUUAACUAGGGUGUCACUUUGAAUUCUAGACAAGUGUUCUUUCCAAGGCAUUUUCAACUUCUGUUCCAUAUGGAAGUGAAUGCAACCUCUAUGCUCUAGACUCAAUCCUAAGGAUGCAAAUGAUGCAACUAAAGCUUCUUUUUGUGUUUUUCAAAAUUUUCAAUUUUUUUUUGGUUUUUCUAUGUAUAUAUGUAUGUACAAUGCAAUGCAUGAGACUCCAAAUAAUCAAAGCAAACAUGAUCAAAUACUUGGUACCUCUCCCAAACUUAAGUCACACAGUCUCUGUGUGAUGAAGAAAAAAGGAGAUACCGAAAAUAUGAGAAAAGCAAAUGGUAUCUACAAUGAAAGGUUGGAGUGGUACCUCAAAUGGAGACUGGGGUGUGAUAAUGGGUGUUUAGAGUAGCAAUGCUUGGCCGCCUUUCCUGUCUUAUUGGCUCUAGACUCAACCUGAAAGAACGCAACCAUACUUAUUAAACAACCUAAAAGAAAGAAAGAUAAAGAAAUAUAUACAAUGGAUAAACAUGGGGCUUUCUCCCAAGUGAGCUUGUUUUAAGUCUCUAGCUUGACUUUGUGUGCUUGUUAAUCAUAAGUAUCAAAAGGUUGGGCCAAUGCACCUUUGGUCCUUCUCCUACAAGAACAAGGAACCAAGUAUGCAAAGGAGCACACUACUGUCCAUAGAAAAUAUUGUCAAAACAAACUUCAAGAUGAAUCCUAACAAGCUUUUUUACUCUCAAAACAUCUAGUUUUCUAGUUUCACAUAUCAGAUCAAGACAUUCAUUGAUGAGCAAUUGAGUAUUCAAAUCAGAGGCAAUAUCUUCAACACAAGGCAAGCAAAUAUUCUUACAUUGAAGUUAUAAAGUAGGAUUGCAUAUACCUUUUAGUUGGGUUGGUGGAACCCAAUAAAAUACCUCUUUGAGCUGUUGAGCCAUUCUUAUCUCAAUGCCGGUGAGCUCUCUUCCUUCUAGUGUUGCCCGAUGUGACAUAAGAUUUAGCCUAAGCAUCACUGCCAUGUCCUCCCUUGUCAACAUUGGGUUCUCUUUGCAAAGCUCAUCCACCUUUACACUUUGUUCUGGUGUGAGUAUACUUUCAUCAAAUGGCUCCUCCACAUAUGGUUCAUCAUCAUCAAUGUGAUCUUCAAGUGUGUCUUCCUCUUCUUGUGGCCAAACAAAGUGGCUUGCAGCCAUCACUGCAAAUAGCAAAAAGCUAGAAUAAAAGGUUAGUAGCUAUACAAAAGCAAAACAAAGCAUAAGAAAAUAAAGCUUAAUCUCAAGAAAGUUUGAAAUCCUAAUGACAAAUCUACUUAGUUCCCCGGCAACGGCGCCAAAUUUGAUGCAUGACUUUUCAAGGGUCCAAGAUCAAAUCAAUGUAGUAAAAAAGAUUGUCGAACCAGAGAACUAGAGACUUAUACACCAAGAAUACACAAGCUAUCUUAAUCUAAACAAACAAGAAGAUGGAUGAUUUGUAACAAGUUAAGAUCCUAGAAAUAUAAACAAGGUGAUCUCAAAUCCAAUCAAGAAACAAGUACAAGAACUCAAUCAAAUGCUAAGGAUGGAUUCAUGGAUAAGGAUAAUUGAUAUAAGGUGAUCAAGGUUCAAUUUAAAGGUGGCAACUUUCAAUCAAUCUUUCAACCUUAUGCAUAGACACAACACUAAGCAAACUCUUUCUCAAGAUUGAAGCUCAUUUGCUAAAAUAACUCAAGCAUCAAAUAUCUUUGGUUGAAUAUUACUAGAGCAAUCAUGGAGAACAAGUCUAAUAGAAAUCCUAGCACCUUUGACAUCAAAUCUCUUUGGCAAAGCAAGCUAAAAGCCUUGAAGAGUUGGUUCAGACAUUUCAUCGAACACCUCUCGGGCGUGAAAUGCCUAGAGAUCUAUCUUAGAGAGGCCAACUUUAAAAUAGCAUUGAGAUCACUCAACAAGCAAGGAAUAAGAAAGAUCUACAAUAAAACACCCUAGAUCUACAGUUAAUCACCCUAAACUACUUUAACCCAUUGAAUCCAAAAUGUGUCUACUCACUAAUCUCCAUGGAAAACCUUAAAUCUAUGGGAGAUUCAAGGCUAAUCAUGUUUAUGAGAAGGAGAAACAAGAUAUAAGAUGAAGAACUUCCUUAAAUUAAUAAAAAGAUUCAAGCUUUAUAAAAUGAGGCAAAGAGUGUUCUCGAGAGAAAAUGAGAUAAUUCUCAACUUGGGGAUUACAAGAGUAUUUAUAUGGUCUUUGGAAAGCCUAAUGGUUUCCAUAGAAAAGUCUAAAAUGCCCUUUGAAAAUGUUGAUUUUCGGCCAAGGUAAAGACGCGACCCGGGUAGAUGCCAUGGUCGCAACCCGCGUCGGCCAACCCGCGUCAGCUCCUCGUCCAGCUUCUGGGAGGCAGCCCGGGUAAGCUAACCCGCGUCCAUCUACCCGCGUCAGGGUUGAUAUGCCUCUAGUAAAUCGAUCAUAACUCGUCCAAUACAGCUCCAAAUGACUUGAAACCACUUCCAUUAGAAAGAUAACUCAAUUUCCCACGUCACCCCAAAACAUGAGCUUCAAAAGAUAUCUUUAAGGUCUCCAUCCAUGUUCAUCUUUCACCCUUUUGCACCACAAAUGUCACUAAACACCUCUAAGAACUCUAUAGCACACUCCAGCCCCUAAUAAAGACCCAUGUAUGCAAAAUGGACCCUAAAGAUGCAUAAUUCCUAAUCUACGUGAUCAUUAUGUACAAGAAAUGAUGGUUAAAACCAUGUAAAUAUGCAAGAUAUCAAUAUAUGGCAGCAGAUACUGCAUGAGCACAAGGGAUGGCCAGCGCGCCGAACUCCUUGCAAGAACAAGUUUUCUUAUCAAGAUCCACACGGUGAUACAUCCCAUUUCCAUUAACAACUUCGUACUCAUUGUUUAUGAUGUGUUUGACAGCAUAUCCUGUGGAGUCUUUGAAGUUGCGCAUGACGAUAUCAGUAACUUUCGGAGUUAGUGCCCCCACAUUCUUUGCUGCUGCAUCACGUCUCGAAGAGAACCAUCCCAUCACCAUUGACCUAAUAUACUCCAGAAGAGGGACAAUUGGGUAUUCUCUAGCCUCAGACAGUGUUGCGUUCAGAGACUCAGCGAGGUUACUUGUCAUAAUGUUGUACCUUGCCCCAUCAAAAUGUGAUCUAGUCCAGUGCUCAAGUCCAACCCGGAUCAGAUAAUCCGCACAAGCGCCGUCAACCACCUUGAGCUCGUUGAAGUGCAAGUAGAAAUCCUCCAGUUUGUAAGCUCUUGCUGCUCUACCCAGAAGGUACCCCAAAUGCUUCUUCUUGAAGAUCGUCUGGACGUUCCUCUGGAGAUGUAGCAGGCAAGAACAAUGCUUAGCCAUCGGAUAAACCUAUUAAAAGUAACUACAGCAGUUAGCAAACUGUGGGAGUGAUCUUAUUCUACAGACUACCAAAUAAGUUAACCGCUAACUUAUGCACUAUAGUUUACCCUUAAUAUUUUAAAUAGAGGCAAUGCAGUAGGUGCUUACUCUGCGGAUUCCAGAGUAUAUUGCGGUGUGUCUGUCAGAGACAAAGACUAAGUCAGUAGCAUCAGUCACUACAGCAAGGAGCUUGUUGAAGAACCAUGUCCAUGAUUGGUCAUUCUCGCUAUCUACUAUCCCAAACGCAAUCGGAAAUAUCUGAUAGUUCCCAUCUUGUACACUUGUUGUGAGCAAACACCCUGCAAACUUCCCCUUCAAGUGCGUUCCAUCAAUGAUGACUACCUUUCUCAUGAAAUCAAAUCCUUUUUGGCUUGCCCCAAAUGACAGGAAGAGGUACUUGAAACGCUGGACAUUGCCUGGUCCCUUGCUUGUCUCCAAUGCGACCAGAGUCCCAGGAUUCGCAAUGGCCAACUGCUGGAGGUAGAAAGGUAAAGUACUAUAUGCUGCCGCAACAUUUCCACGCCCAUUCUCUAUAGCAAUCUUCCGGGACUUCCAAGCAGUCCAGUAGGAUAUCGGUACACUGUGGUCUCUCAACGCUCCUGGCCUUGGGCCACUUCCGAUACCAACAUACUUGCUCCUCAUCAUUCCCCCAACAAUUGAUGAGGUUGCAUGUCUCCUAAACUGCCCCCGCUCGCUAACAGUGCAAUGGUGGUUACUAUCCAAUGUCUUGAUUUCAAACAGCGGGCACCCAGUGAUUUUAGCUGCGUACACCCGCCAUUGACAGUUAACUCCACUGCACUCCAGAACCAGUUUUCCGGGCUCAGACUUCCUCUUGAAGUAUAUGUACUUGUUAGCCAAUGCAUGUAGCGACAUGUGAACCUUGAAAGCAUCCCGGUCGACAAAUACUUGCCCCACAUAGAGCUGAUUAUUGCUGCCUAUUUCCUCUUCAUCUGAAAUCAGCAAUUUAUAUAAUGUUAGAACAUAUAUACAAACUCAUUUACCAACUAACUCAUCCAUUACUCGGAACAAAUAAACUUAUCCAUCACGGGGGAAGCUUACCUUUUUGCUCACCAGCAUAAGCUUCAUCCUCCUCAAGUGCCACAUCGGCCCCCUCCGUGUUUGCAAAACCAGAGCCAGAACCCAUCUGCAGCCCGAAGAGCUGACCACCCCUGAUGUCUGGACCAGUCAUUACCCCCUUGCCUUUCAUAUAUGAGCCCACCCGUCCUCCAUCAACGUCGUCAGUAGUAGCUAAGAAAACAAUUAACACUCAAACGCAUCAUUUAUCCGCUAACUAUAUAUACUCCAUCAACCAGUUCAUUUCCAACAAAACACUCAAAUAAACUUCUACUUACCUAUCGCCAAUGUCAGGUUCGCUCCAGCUGGCGGUUCUGUAGGUAUUUCCUCAAGCCGGAUCAUCCCUUCAGCAUUAGGUAUGAAAAUAUCCAUUUCAUCUGAUGAAUCGGUCUGAGAGGAGUUUUCAUCAAUCACCAUCAGGGGCUGAAAAAUCUCAUCCCUUGUCAGACGCACGGCGUUCCUACGGAUUUCCACCAUCUGCUCACUGCUGCAGAUAUGGUCAUCAACUUCUCCUCGCUAACUUGCAGAUAACCACCCGAACGGAAACCUUUAUAUGGUAACAACAAAGUUAGCAUACAAGUAUACAACUUAGCAACCAACAUAUUUAAUGGUUGAUAAUGCAAACCUCUCCACGGUAUUGGUUUAGGUGGAACAACAUCAGUCCCGUCUUCCGUCAGCCCGAACUCCUCCCUCCGCAUGGUGUGGUAGCGGCCAACUUCCACGUUUCCAUAGGCCACACACAAAGUCAAUUUAACGUAGUCCAUCCUAACCGCAUGAAGGGCUCCACAUCUUUGUCUUCUAGUAUGUCAACAGGCGGUGUGGUGUAGUCGCCAGGAACUUUCAUCCACUCAGGGAAGUCAUAGGUCAAGGCGACAGGUUCAGAAGGGAGUACUCGGUAUUUACCCCUCACCAUAGCCACCAAGUCGCCGUAAGUCUCAUUCUCUCUCAACACAAUAUCGUAUUUCACUUGUGUGUGAUCCAUGUCGAACCACCAGGUCCCAUGUGCAAGUCUCUGCCAUUCACCUACAACAACUCUCACCAGGUGCCCCAUUGCUUGUACUUGAACAAGUUCGUUGUUUCCUGAACAAAAAGACAGAACACAGAUUGUGAAUCUCUAGUUUAUAACAGCGAACACAACCGUCUAUUAAUCAUCAAAGAGUUGUUUCCUGAACCAAAAAGACAGAACAAGUCUAUAUAGAUGAAUAUAUGUCAAUAAUCUUCAUACCUCUCCUCUAAGAGAUAAUGAACACUGUCAAACGAGUUCCUAAUCUCUAAACUCUCAAUCACAGUUUUCGUUUUCACUUUGUCUCUCACACCAAUCUCUCAACCCUCUGCUAAGUAUAUAUAUUCUAUUCUAUGAACCCUAGUACCAAACCCACAACCCAAUAUGCAACCACCGUUCCACUUACCGAAGCAAUUGUCAUCAUAACGAGUAAGGAGAUCUUUUUUACCCAGCAGUUCCUCGCCUCCGGCGCCUCUUUGUGUCAGUCACGCUCCUCUCUACACGCCUCAACCAAAUCUCAGUUUCUCUACUUUCUGACACACACACGCGUUCUAUCGGCGAACCCACGAGGUUGAAAGAGCCAAAUCGUGGCCAAAAAGUCAUUGUUUUUGCCUAUAUCUAAACUCAUGGGCAUUAACCAAAUUUGGGUCUCUUUUGGGUAUAUAUCGUCCAUUCACUCAACUAAGAAACAUGCGAUGUGAACACCGCCUCUAGGAGUCUAGGAUAUGGAGACUUGUCUCGCUCCCUGCCAGUUGAAAGUUCAAUAUUUGUUUUUGUAGAAAUCUUAGUAGAUGAAUCUUGCACGUAUGUAAAUUAUAACAAAAUCCAAGAAGUCACUGUUAUUGGUUUAUACCCAAAAAGCAUAUACUUUUUCCUUUUAACUCUUUCUUUUUGUUGCUCUAGACUAUCUUAGAUACAAGAGGUGGCAAAAUUGAUCUUUUAGAGACAGAAAGAUGGCAACAAAGUAUCUUUUCUAAAAUUUUGUUUUGCCAACUUAAUCAAUCAGUUUACAUAUGUAAAUAAAAUUGAAUAACCAUUUAUUAAUGACUUGUGUCAGUUGUUUGAAAUUUUGUUUAGUCAACCAACUUUUUUGCCAUUUGUUCUUGUUUCUAAUUAUUUCUUGCUAAACUUAUUCAAAGUUCAUUAUUAUCUUGUUAACUAGGACUACAAAAACAGUUCUUUUCAUUAUUUAAGAUAUGAAUUAUAAUUUUAGUCGCAUGGUUUAGCACCAGAUUUGUUUCUAAACGAAUCUAAUCAUUCAACCAAUAAGUAGUAGUACCACUUAAAUUAUAAAAUACAAAGCAUGUACUUUUCACAUGUAGCGUUCCAAUUGUUAUUGUUAAUAUCUAAUAUUAGUUUUUCGAAAGUGAAAUAUUAAAAGUUGUCUUCUCCGCGCACUAUCUUGGCUCUUAGUAUGGGACGAGUUCGUCGUAUCCUCUUCAUUUUCAACAAAUAGAAAAACAUAAAAGCUCUUCUGAGGAAACUCAAAGAUCUCUGGAGAUUCUCUCCAAUGGCAGCCACAGUACUUGGCUCCGUCUUCGGUAUCUCUCCCGUCUCUACAGAAAGAGUCUGCAACGCUGACUUCCGCAGUACGAAGUCAAACCUACGAGGAAGAACGCAGGCUAUCAAAUCGGUAGCACCGACGAAUCACGGUGGUGUUCGACGAGUACACAAGAACAAGGAGGAUGACGGAGAAGGAGCAAAGGUGGCUAAAUUGGUGGAGAGCCCGUAUUCAAAAGUGGAGGCUGCGCGUCCAGAUUUGCGGAAGAGGUUGUCGGAUUUUUUGGAGGAUGCGAGAGAUUUGGUCGGAGAUGAUGAUGGUCCGCCACGUUGGUUCUCUCCGUUGGAGUGUAGCUCUCAGGCUCCAGGCUCGCCUCUUCUCCUUUUCAUACCUGGUUCGUCCUCUAAUUAACCGAGCAGUAGAUCUUGGACCGAAACUGUAAAAAAAUAAAAACAGGUUGUUUUGUUUUUGCCAUUUUAAAACAUUUUACAUUGGUUAACAAGAGGUGUCCAGUAAUAGACGUGGAUGGUGGGAUUUGAUUUGUGGCGUUGACCCGCAUGGUGUGCUGAUCCUCGCCAGACCAGUCAAAUCAAAGUGCUAUAAUUAGUGGCAACAUAAAUGAAGCUUAUGGGCGAUAGUGAUACCAAAGCUGUUGUACUCAGUUUCUAGUUUCUAGUUUCUAGUUUCUACUAGGGGUCAUAAAGAUUGUCCUCAAUUUUGAUGGUAUCAAUGAACCGUUUUCCCAGAUCAUCCCGGUGUGACGGUGUCCGAACAUCUUGAUGAAAUCUAGAUUUUACUUAUAUAUUCACUCUGCUUUGUCAUUUAAAAGAAAACUAAAUAAUUUUUCAGACAAAAAAUUAACCCAGUAAUAGUAGUAUUUCAUACAAGUCUCCUUUAAUUUUAAGUUUUUUUUUUAUUAUUUUUGAAAAUACAAAUAAACAAUAGUAUACAUUAUAUGUAUAACUAUAUAGCAUAUCAGAUAUAUAUAUCCAUUACAAUUUCAAUAUUUGUAAUUUGCUUCAUUUUUAAUGGAUAAUAAAUUCUAGUAUUAGCUUACUUCAUAGUUUGAGAUAAUCCCUUGUUAAGAUCAAAUAGACACAAAUAAUGAAAUAGUCGAAAAUAUUUUAGCUCAUCACUAGUUUCUACCAUAUUUUAAGACUAAACUGAGAAACUAGAAACCUUGCAGGUACCGAUGGUACUGGACUUGGGCUCAUUAGACACCACAAGAAACUCGGGGAGUGAGUAAUUUUCAAAUUUUUGUUUAUAUGCUUCUUCAUUUUUCUUUUGAAGUUUGCAACUUUGCAUUAGCUUCUUCUUUUUCUUUUUCAUUUUUGAAACAUUCAUGCUUAUGUUUCUUGAUCCAUAUCAGUUGAAAGAAUAAAAUGAGAAAGCAAGAAGCCUAAAAUGAAAUUAAUUGAAUAUGGUUUCUCUGUUUCUGGAAGUUAGUCAUUUUCUGAUAUUUUUUGUUAUCUUUUGAGUAGGAUUUUUGAUGUAUGGUGCCUUCAUAUUCCAGUCAGGGAUCGCACUCCAGCUAAAGGUGCCUUAUUUUUUGUACCAAAACAAAAGAAGAGAAAAAAAAAUUCUAACCAAGAAGACAGCUUAAUGAGGGAUAAAAUGACUUUUGUUUAUGUGUGUUUACAGACUUGGUGAAGCUUAUUGAGAGGACAGUUAAGUCAGAGAACUAUCGUUUCCCAAACAGACCUAUAUAUUUAGUUGGUGAAUCUAUUGGAGCAUGUCUUGCGUUAGAUGUUGCAUCCAGGAAUCCCAACAUCGACCUUGCGCUCAUCUUGGCUAAUCCAGGUACAAACCUCCAUCGGUCUGUGAGAUUCUAUCUUAUAUUGUCGGUAAACGUUAUAACGUAUAUGUAAGUUUUUGCUCAUCGUAUAUAUUGUUUCUUGCAGCCACAGAUGUCAACAACUACAUGUCGCAACCUCUAUCAGGAAUGCUGAAUGUUUUACCAGAUGGAGUUCCCACACUAUUGGAAGAAAUAUUUGGUUUUAAGCAAGGUAGUACACUUUUCUGUUCUCUUGUCAUUUUGUAGUUGAUGUUUGCCUUCCAAAACGUGACAAACAUAUGGUUUCUUUUUUUCCGGGGCACUUUAUUACGCAGGUGAUCCAUUGACUGCAAUGUUAGACGCUUUGACGAAUGAAUUUUACGUCCACCAAAUGGGUGGAGUUGGUGGAGGGAUACUAAGAGAUAUCUUUGCAGUUUCAGCUAAUCUUCCUGUAAGCAUUAAUUUUUAGUUUAUAGUCAAUGCAUUUAUUAUUAUCAACAUCUAAAACAAAUAUAUUUGCAGACGUUGAGUAGGAUGUUCCCAAAGGACACACUUCUUUGGAAGCUGGAACUGCUCAAGUCUGCUGUUGCAUCUGCCAAUUCUCACAUACACGCGGUCAGAGCUGAAACACUCAUACUUCUGAGGUCUUAAUACUUAAUCUCUUUUUACUUGCAAAGACUUGUUCCAGCUUAAAGCUUAGGUGUAAUAUGUGAAUAUCUGGUUAUAUCCAUUGCAGUGGACGUGAUCAAUGGCUACUGAACGUGGAAGACAUUGACAGAUUGGCGCUCACAUUGCCAAAAUGUGUUGUCCGCAAGAUGAAAGACAGUGGACAGUUUCUGUAUUUCGUAAGUGACCUCUCUUCAUCCAACACAGAAGAUAUAUAAACUGAUAACUACACUUUAACUAUCUCUUGGAUUACGUCUCAUAUUAGGAGGACGGCGUCGAUCUGGUUACUAUCAUCAAGUGUACAUGUUUCUAUCGCCGUGGGAAGUCUCAUGACCACCUUUCAGAUUACAUCAUGCCUACCACAUUUGAGUUAAAACAACAAAUAGACGACCACAAGUAAAAAUGCUUAACAAACCAAAUUAGUCUAUUACUUAAGAGGUUAUAGCGAAUAGUGAAUAAUAAUUUUCUACGUUGCAGAUUGUUAAUAGAUGCUACUUCCCCUGUAAUGCUAUCAACUCUAGCAAACGGUAAAGUUGUAAGGAGCCUAGAAGGUUUACCUUCGGAAGGACCUGUUCUGUACGUUGGCUACCACAUGUUACUGGGAUUUGAGCUAGCUCCUAUGGUAUCACAGCUCUUGAAAGAGAGAAACAUUCACUUGCGCGGUUUGGCACAUCCCAUGCUAUUUGUAAACAACCAAGAUGCGUUGGUCGACACGCAGAUGUUUGAUAAAUAUAAGAUAAUGGGUGGAGUUCCUGUUUCCAAUUUCAAUAUCUACAAACUACUGAGUUUAAAGUCUCAUGUGCUUUUGUACCCUGGAGGUGUCCGUGAAGCUCUCCACAGAAAGGUGCUCAUGAGAAUAUAUUUAAUAGUUUGUGACCCUUUUUUUUUUACAGUUUAUGCAUUCUUGGGAGGUUAUAUUAUUAGAGGUUUACAUGUACAGGGUGAAGAGUACAAGUUGUUUUGGCCAGAGCAACCUGAAUUUGUGAGAGUUGCAUCUAAAUUUGGAGCGAAAAUAGUCCCUUUUGGUGUUGUUGGAGAAGAUGACAUCUUUGACGUAAGAUUUUCUCUACUCAGUUCUGUGAACCUCUUGUUUAGCAUGUUAGCAAGAAGCAUUGUCUCUAUGUAUAGAAUAGAAAUGAUCUGAUAAACACUAUACUGGUCUACUUUAUGCAUCACCUGAACCUUGGUUUGCAAGUUAUUAAUUUUGGUUAGGAUAAUGGAUGAUGAAUCUCAGAUUGUACUGGAUGGUAAUGAUCAAAAGAACAUCCCUAUCCUAAAGGAUUUGAUGGCAGAGGCAACAAAGCAAGCUGGCAACUUAAGGUGUUUUAUUUUAUCUACACAAUUUCUUUUUAUCAUUUUAUACUCAUCAAGUGAAACUAAACAUGAGUUUGAACUGUUGUAAAUUACUAGGGAAGGUGAUGAAAGCGAGUUAGGAAACCAAGAUUGCUAUUUCCCGGGACUUUUACCUAAGAUUCCGGGGAGGUUCUACUACUACUUUGGUAAACCAAUAGAAACAGCAGGUAGGGAACAAGAGCUAAAAGACAAAGAGAAGGCUCAAGAGUUUUACUUGCAAGUCAAGUCAGAGGUAGAAGAGUGCAUUGCCUAUUUGAAAAUGAAAAGAGAGAGUGAUCCCUACAGGCACUUGUUGCCAAGGGUCUUGUAUCAGGCUUCACAUGGUUUCUCUUCUGAAAUUCCGACGUUUGAGCUCUGAAAUUCUCUUUUCAAUUGUUUACAAUAUAGAAUAAUUAAUGUGGCUAUGUUGUAAGUAGACACAUUCAAUUAUGAUUCAUGAUAUUUAGAUGUUUUUUUAUUUUCAUGAACCAUGGAAGUCUUAAGGUUGUUCUUCAUACGUAACUCGUGAGAUUGCGUUUCAGCAUAAUUUAAGCUUCAUACAAUGUUCAUGCGUCCAUUAAGUUGUUAAAGAUUAAUACCAAAACUUUUUCUCUCUUUUUUUUGUUUUUUGCGGCUUUUCAAUUUCUUAAGAUGUGAACAACAACAACAUCUUUGAGAAAGAAGUGAGAAGAGUGUCUUGAGAUUAUUACAAUGAAAGGUACAGUAGUACUUGGCUCCAUCAACGGUCUCUCUUCUGUAUCGUCUCUCUCAAGAGAAACAUUCCGCAACGCUGGUUUCUUCUGUUGGAAACAAAGCUCAUCCUCGAAGUAUAGACUCACGGCGAUCAGACUAGAAUCAUCGACUACGACUCAUGGAGGUAUUAGACGAAUAAGGAAGAAUCAAGAUGAAAAGGUGGUUGAGAGUCCGUAUGCGAAUGUGGAAGAGGAGCGGCCUGACUCGAGGAAGAGCUUGUUAGACUUUUUGGAAGAAGUAAGAGGUUUCGUCGGAGAAGAAGGUCCACCUCGUUGGUUCUCUCCGCUUGAGAGCUCCGUUCAGGCUCAAGGCUCUCCUCUCCUCCUUUUUAUACCUGGUUUUUCUUCUUGAUCUUCUUUGGCUUUUCCUAUAAUCUCCAUGGAAAAUUGAGAUCUUACUGUUGAAGUUUAAAAAAACUUGCAGGUAUUGAUGGUACUGGACUAGGGCUCAUUCGCCAACACAAGAAACUUGGAGAGUGCGUAAACUUCAAAAUCUUAUUUAUCCCUUUUUCAUGUCGUUAAGUGUUUGCUAUUACAUUUAUUUAUUUAUUUUUCAUUUUUUUUUUUGUAAAUUCCUCGCGCAAAAAAAAACUAAAAACUAUAAAGAAAAGCUUAAACUGAAAACAAGAAUAUGGUUUUUCUGUUUUUGAAGUACUGACAUGUAAUGGAUCUUCAUUUCUGGUGUGGUUGUGACUUUGAGUAGGCUGUUUGAUAUAUGGUGCCUUCAUAUUCCAGCCAGGGAUCGUACUUCUUCUAAAGGUACCUUGUUGUCUAUUAAAGAUUGCUUUCUGACCAAGAAGAUAGUUGAAAGCUGAUUUUGGUUGGUGUGUUUACAGACUUGGUGAAGCUUAUUGAGCAGACAGUUAAGUCAGAGAACCAUCAUUUCCCAAAUAGACCUAUAUACUUAGUUGGAGAAUCUAUUGGAGCAUGUCUUGCGUUAGAUGUGGCAGCCAGGAAUCCCAACAUCGAUCUUGUCCUCAUCUUGGCUAAUCCUGGUAAAAACCUCCAUCGGUCUGUAAGGUUCUUUAUUUUUCGGUAAGUGCAUAUCGUUGAUCAUCCUAUACACCGUUUGUUGCAGCCACACAUAUCAACAACCUCAUGUCGCAGCCUCUAUCAGGAAUGCUUAAUGUUUUACCAGAUGGAAUUCCCACGCUAUUGGAAGAAAUAUUUGGUUUUAAGCAAGGUACAGUUUCUUUGUUCUCUUCUCAUUUUCUAACUUGACUUCUUGUAGUUGAUACUUUCUCAAGGAUUCUUUAAGUGUCUCCAAGUUUAUUACACAGGCGGUCCAUUGACUGAAACGUUAGAAGCCUUUUCAAAUGAAUUUUCUGUCCAUCAAAUCGGUGGAAUGAUGCUAAGAGAUCUGUUUGCAGUUUCAGCUAAUCUUCCUGUAAGAAUUCAUUAUUAUAAACUCAUUAAUACAAGCCCAUAAUAGCUAUGCAUUUGAAAUUUACUUAUUGUAUUCACCUAAUAAUGUGAUCAACAUAUCAAAACAAUAUUUGCAGACUUUAAGUAGGAUCUUCUCUAAGGACACACUUCUUUGGAAGCUGGAAAUGCUCAAGUCUGCUAUUGCAUCUGCGAAGUCCAAUAUAUCCGCCGUCAGAGCUGAAUCACUGAUACUCUUGAGGUCAAAUUAAUACUGAAUCUCUUAUACUUGCAAAGAAUGUCCUAACUCCUAACUAAGAGCUUAAGUGUAAUAUGUGAAUGUAUGUUUAUUACCAUUGCAGUGGACGCGAUCAAUGGAUGCUGAACCUGGAAGACAUUGACAGAUUCUCGCGCAAGUUGCCAAACUGUAUUCUCCGUAAGUUCAACGACAGUGGACCAUUUCUCCUUUUGGUAAGUGACAUCUCUUCAUCCAGUUCACAAGAAAUAUAUUCAUAAACUACACUUCAACUAUCUCUCUUGUACAUCUCACGUUAGGAGGAUGAUGUAGAUCUUGUUACAAUCAUCAAGUGUACAUGUUUUUAUCGCCGUGGGAGGUCUCAUGAUUACAUUUCAGAUUACAUUAUGCCUACGCCAUACGAGUUAAGAAAACAACUAGAGGAACACAGGUAACAACGUGCCUCAUUAUAGUUUCUCUCUAUGUAUCUUUAAGUAAAAGGGUAUAGUACUGAGUGAUAAUUUUUUACCAUGCAGAUUACUAAUAUAUGCUACUUCCCCUGUAAUGCUGUCAACUCUAGAGAACGGUAAGAUUGUAAGGAGCCUAGAAGGUCUACCUUCGGAGGGACCUGUUCUGUACGUUGGAUAUCACAUGAUAUUGGGAUUUGAGUUACCUCCAAUGAUAGCUCAACUCAUGAAAGAGAGGAACAUUCAGUUGCGUGGGUUGACACAUCCGAUUAUUUUUAUGAACAAGACGAUAGUACACGACAUACUCGACCCUCAGAUAUUUGACAAAUAUAAGAUAACGGGUGGAGCUCCUGUCUCUCAUGCCAAUAUCUACAAGUUGCUGAGUUCAAAGUCUCAUGUGCUUUUGUAUCCUGGUGGUGUCCGUGAAGCUCUCCAUAGAAAGGUGAACAUAACCUUUUUUAUACAGUUUUUGUAUUCUUGGAAAUUAUGUUAUUAGAGGCUUACAUGUACAGGGUGAAGAGUACAAGUUGUUCUGGCCAGAGCAACCUGAGUUUGUGAGAGUUGCAUCUAAAUUUGGAGCCAAAAUUGUCCCUUUUGGUGUUGUUGGGGAAGACGACAUCUGCAAGGUAAGCUUUCAUAGUCAUAAGCUCCAAUCGGUUAUGCUGUUUAGCAAAUCAGCAAGCAAAAUAAUACUAAACAACUUAGAGAGAAAACUAAUAUAUGUUUUAAAUUUUCUUUAUUAAUUGUGUGAAUAAAUAAUUCACAAUACUAAAAAGAAUACUUAAGGCCCAACACUUCUCAGAUGUCAACUUUGAUAGAAAGUACAUCUGCAACAUUGUAGCAUUUUACUAGUGCACCGAGAUUUAAGCUUCGCUAAUAAGAAAUGACAAGUCUUUAUUCCGAUUUCUACAUUACUUGACAUUCUCAGCUUCUACCUAAUUCUACAGAUUACUGCGUUCCACAUAUUAGAUUUGUUCUUUUUAGUUGAUUUCUGAAGUGCUGAUAAAAGUUCCAUACCUUGUAUUCACCCGAACCUCGGUUUUAAAGUAACUUUGGCUGGGAACAUUGAAUGACUCUCAGAUCGUUCUGGAUUCCAAUGAUCAAAGGAACAUCCCUAUCUUGAAGGAAUUAAUGGAAAGGGCAACAAAGGAAGCUGGCAACUUAAGGUGUUUCCACGCUACACUAUAUAUACAUUUUUUUCUCAUGUGUACUCUUCAUGUAAAUAGUCAUAUGAUCACUGACUUUGAGCUUUCAUAAUCUUUUAGGAAAGGCCACGAGAGUGAAUUGGGAAACCAAGAUUUCUAUUUACCAGGGCUUGUACCUAAGAUUCCAGGGAGAUUCUAUUAUUACUUUGGAAAGCCAAUAGAAACAUCAGGUAUAUAUGUUCAAUGUAAAUUAAUGUUGCUUUGAUCUACUCUAGAUCACUGAUCUGAGUACUUGCAAUGGCUUUUUUUCUUUCUUUUUGGCAGGUAAGGAACAAGAGCUAAGAGACAAAGAAAAAGCCCAGGAGCUUUACUUGCAAGUCAAGUCUCAGGUAGAACAAUGCAUUGCCUAUUUGAAAAUGAAAAGAGAGAGUGAUCCCUACAGAAACUUGCUGCCAAGGAUGUUGUAUCAGGCUUCACGUGGUUUCUCUUCUGAAACUCCAACGUUUGAUCUCUGAAAUUAUCAUCUCUUUGAUCAUUUACAGUACUACUUUAUAUUUUAUUUUUCAAAUCAUGAAUUGAACAACAAAUUAGUAUAGAUAAAUAAUAGAAGAAACAUAAAAGUUUUGUUAAAUGAUUAUAUAAGCUUGUCUCUUAAUGGCUAUUGAGUGUGAUUAACGGCCAUUGUUUUUACAAGUGGCAUAGAUAAAUAAUAGGAGAAAUAUGAAACUUUGUGUUCAAAAAAAAAAAAAAAAAUAUGAAACUUUUUGUGUUAAAUAAUAGUCCUUAAAAUGAUUCUCUCUCGUAUUAAUAAAUGAAGAAUAUUACAAACUCAGAUUUUCAUAAAGUGUAUAAGCUUGUCUCUUCAACUAGUAAAUCCAAUCAAACGCUUUAUGCAUAUAGGCCCCGCCUUGCUCAUGUUUGCCCGCCCACACUUUUAAAUAGAUACCGUUUUCUCUGGCUCUCCAGUCCCACAAGGCUCCAUUAUCACUGGGACUUACCUGUUUGAAUGCUGUAAAGCUCUGAGUGUGUCUAUAAUUAGGCCCUUGUCUCAACGUACACAUGAAACGCGUUGUCCCGAAAAUGUUGGUGUUGAAGUAUUUUUCAUAUCGUGCUCCUGGUUCUAUCAUCUCUGUCUUCAUUCGGUUGUCUUUGGAGUAACAGCUUAUAGAGAGCUUUUUCUUGAAUUUGAGUUCGUUUGAAAUCCUGAUGCUGCCGUAUACAUGGCUAAUCAUGCAGAAGCUAACCACACAUAGAAAGAUUGAGAGAUUUUUCAUAUUUAUUUUUAGGAUACUGAUGAUGUACUUCUUUUUGUGGUCUAGAUUAUAUAUACGCAUCUAUAUUGCUAUAUAUGGUAUUUUAGUUUAUAAAUAGGAUUAUAGAAAGACAAAUAAGAUGUGUUGUAGAUGCUCUAAUUAAUAAGCUAUAGAUAAUCCUCACAAAUCCACAGCUUGAACUUCUGUUAAAAACUGCUAUCAUUACUUUGGAAAACAAAUAGAAACAGCUGGUAUACAUGUUAAAUGUGCUUUGACUACUGUAGAUUGCAUGAUCUGAAUACUGGCAAUGGUUUUGUUUUUGUUUUUUCUCUUUCUUGGCAGGUAAGGAACAACAGGCCCAAGAACAUUACUAGCGAGUCAAAUCUCAGGCAUUGCCUGUUUGAAAAUGAAAAGAGAGAGUGAUCCCGCCAGAAACUUGUUGACAAGGAUUUUGUAUCAGGCCUCACAUGGUUUAUCUUCUGAUAUUACAACCUUUAAUCUCUAUGACUAUCAUCUCUUUCAUCAUCAAUUUUUUUUCACAAGUAGCAUAGAUAAAUAAUAUGGGAGCAACAUAAAACUUUUUGUGUUAAAUGGUAGUCCUUAAAUUGAUUAUUCUCUUGUAUUAAUGAAGAAUAUAUACAAACUUCGAUUUUCAUCUGUAACUAGAUCUUGACCUGCGCAACCGCGCAGGUUUUUGUUUUUAUUUAUUUUUAUAUAAAUAUUUUGUUUUCAAUUCUAAAUUGGUAUAUAUUAUAAUAUAUGUGUCUAUCAAUUUUUUAAACAUAAUAAGUUUACGAUAUAUAUUUUUCAUUGAAUAGAUUGUUUUAAAAUUUCACAUGUAUUUGUAUCUUCUUUUAUAUAUAUAUAUAUUAUCGGAUUAUUAUUUCAUUAUUAAAACCAUAACUAUAUAUAUAAAGAUUAGUAAAAUAUUGUUUUAUUGUCAUAUUCAAAGAUAUUGUAACAUUUCACAAAUUUAGAAAGUUUUUAAAAAAUUAAACUUUUCGCUUCAUGGAUUUAUAUUAUCGAGUAAAUAAUUAAACAUUUAGUUUUUGCUUAAUUUUUAAAAUAAACUAUAUAGUUUAAAAUUUGUUUUCAUUGGUUUAAGGUAGUAAAGAUUAAUCAUUGUUAGAUAAUAUUAUUUUUGAUAUUUUUUAAAUUUUUUUUAUAAUUUUAAAAGUUAACAUCGACAUAUAUUUAAAUAUUUAACAUAUGGAGUUAUAGUAUUACACCAUUAAAUUAUAUCUAUUUUAUUUAUAUUGUCUAUAAAUCCAAUGGAUCAUCUAUUCUUUAAAUCCAAUUAUUGAUAGCCCAAUAAAAAUUUCUGGUAGACCCAAAAUUUAAAUGAUAUAAUAUAUGUGUCUAUCAAUUUUUAAAACAUAAUAGGUUUACGGUAUAUGUUUUUCAUUGAAUAGAUUGUUUUAAGCUUUUACGUGUAUUUGUAUCUUCUUCUAUAUAUAUAUUUUCGGAUUGUUAUUUUAUUAUUAAAAUCGUAACUAUAUAUAUAAAGAUUAGUAAAAUAUUGUUUUAUUGUCAUAUUCAAAGAUAUUGUAACAUUUCACAAAUUUAGAAAGUUUUUUAAAAAUUAAACUUUUCGCUUCAUGGAUUUAUAUUAUCGAGUAAAUAAUUAAACAUUUAGUUUUUGCUUAAUUUUUAAAAUAAACUAUAUAGUUUAAAAUUUGUUUUCAUUGGUUUAAGGUAGUAAAGAUUAAUCAUUGUUAGAUAAUAUUAUUUUUGAUAUUUUUUAAAUUUUUUUUAUAAUUUUAAAAGUUAACAUCGACAUAUAUUUAAAUAUUUAACAUAUGGAGUUAUAGUAUUACACCAUUAAAUUAUAUCUAUUUUAUUUAUAUUGUCUAUAAAUCCAAUGGAUCAUCUAUUCUUUAAAUCCAAUUAUUGAUAGCCCAAUAAAAAUUUCUGGUAGACCCAAAAUUUAAAUGAUAAGAUUAGAGAUUAAAUAUAACAUGACUUUCUAGGAAUAGGUCCAUUAGGUCCAUUGUUUAAAAAAUCACACAUGAAUCAAGGUUGUGACUACAUGUUUAAAUAUAUAAACUAGAUAUCGAUCCGCGCAACCGCGCGGUUUUUGUUUUCAUUUAUUUUUAUAUAAAUAUUUUGUUUUCAAUUCUAAAUUGGUAUAUAUUAUAAUAUAUGUGUCUAUCAAUUUUUAAAAUAUUAUAAGUUUACGGUACAUUUUUUCAUUGAAUUGAUUGUUUUAAACUUUCACAUGUAUUUGUAUCUUCUAUAUAUAUAUAUUUUCGGAUUAUUAUUUCAUUAUUAAAAUCGUAAAUAUAUAUAUAAAGAUUAGUAAAAUAUUAUUUUAUUAUCAUAUUCAAAGAUAUUGUAACAUUUCACAAAUUUAGAAAGUUUUUAAAAAAUUAAACUUUCCGCUUCAUAGAUUUAUAUUAUCGAGUAAAUAAUUAAACAUUUAGUUUUUGNNNNNNNNNNNNNNNNNNNNNNNNNNNNNNNNNNNNNNNNNNNNNNNNNNNNNNNNNNNNNNNNNNNNNNNNNNNNNNNNNNNNNNNNNNNNNNNNNNNNNNNNNNNNNNNNNNNNNNNNNNNNNNNNNNNNNNNNNNNNNNNNNNNNNNNNNNNNNNNNNNNNNNNNNNNNNNNNNNNNNNNNNNNNNNNNNNNNNNNNNNNNNNNNNNNNNNNNNNNNNNNNNNNNNNNNNNNNNNNNNNNNNNNNNNNNNNNNNNNNNNNNNNNNNNNNNNNNNNNNNNNNNNNNNNNNNNNNNNNNNNNNNNNNNNNNNNNNNNNNNNNNNNNNNNNNNNNNNNNNNNNNNNNNNNNNNNNNNNNNNNNNNNNNNNNNNNNNNNNNNNNNNNNNNNNNNNNNNNNNNNNNNNNNNNNNNNNNNNNNNNNNNNNNNNNNNNNNNNNNNNNNNNNNNNNNNNNNNNNNNNNNNNNNNNNNNNNNNNNNNNNNNNNNNNNNNNNNNAUAUUUUCGGAUUAUUAUUUCAUUAUUAAAAUCGUAACUAUAUAUAUAAAGAUUAGUAAAAUAUUGUUUUAUUGUCAUAUUCAAAGAUAUUGUAACAUUUCACAAAUUUAGAAAGUUUUUUAAAAAUUAAACUUUUUGCUUCAUAGAUUUAUAUUAUCGAGUAAAUAAUUAAACAUUUCGUUUUUAUUUAGUUUUUAAAAUAAAAUAUAUAGUUUAAAUUUGUUUUCAUUGGUUUAAGGUCGUAAAGAUUAAUCAUUGUUAGAUAAUAUGAUUUUUGUUAUUUAAAAAAAAAAUCUUUAUAAUUUUAAAAGUUAACAUCGACUAUUUAAAUAUUUAACAUAUGGAGGUAUAGUAUUACAAUAUUAAAUUAUAUUUAUUUAAUUUAUAUUAUUUAUAAAUUCAAUGAAUCAUCUAUUCUUUAAAUCCAAUUAUUAUAGCCCAAUAAAAAUUUCUGGUAGGCCCAAAAUUUAAAUGAUAAUAUUAGAGAUAAAAUGUAACAUGACAUUAUAGAAAUAUGUCUAUUAUGUCCAUUUUUUUUAAAAAAUCACACAUAAAUUAAGGUUGUGACUUCUGUUUGAAUAUAUAAGAUAUAAGAAAAGAAUAUUACAAACUAGUAUAUCCAAUCAUGCACCUUAUGCAUAUAGGCCCCACCUUGCUCAUGUUCGCCCGCCCACACUUUCAAAUAGAUACCAUUUUCUCUGGCUCUCCAGUCCCACAAGGCUCCAUUAUCACUGGGACUUACCUGUUUGAAGGCUGUGAAGCUCUGAGUGUGUCUAUAGUUAGGCCCUUGUCUCAACGUACACAUGAAACGCGUUGUCCCCCAAAUGUUGGUGUUGAAGUUAAUUCGAUGGCGUUCUCCUGGGUUUUUUAUCACUGGCUCCAUUUGGUCGUCUCCGGAGAAACAGCUUAUCCAGAGUUUUUUCUUGAAUUUGAGUUCGUUCGCAAUCCUGAUGUCGCCGUAUACAUGGCUAAUCAUGCAGACGACACAUAGAAAUAUUGAGAGAUUUUUCAUUUUUUUCUUAGGAUACUGAUAAGAUGUUUUACAUCUUUUGUUAUUUAGAUUAUAUAUAUACACAGAACAUCUUAUUAGGAAGGGAUCAUGGUCAUGCAUGGAACAUAAUCACGGAAAUUUGACGAGAUAUCUUCCUUUAAAUUUGUAGAUUUUUAUUUCUUUCUGUUUAUUCCAUUGUAAGUAAUUCUGAUUAGUUUAUAAUAAUAUAAAUUGAAAAACGGAAACAAUAUAUUAAUACGAGACUAUAGUUAAGACUCUAUUGAUAUGGUUUUAAUUAUAAUAAGAUUGACAUGCUUAUUUUUGUAAUAAGAAAAAAAGAAAUGAUAGAUAUAUAAAAAAUGAGUGAUGAAUAAUAAAACUACUGAAUCUCACAUUAAUAUUAAGUAUAUAUGUCGAAAAUAAUGACAUCAUGUUAUUUAAAAUUUAAAAUAUUAUUUUUCUAAUUUAAAAUUAGUUAAUAAUAUUUAAUUAAAAUAUGUAUGUAUUAUAGUAACUUUUUAAAAAUGAAAGUAAUACUUUUAAAAAUAAUACUUUUAAAUGAAUCAUUGUUUUAUACGAUAGUCUGAUGAUUGGAGAGAAUUUAAUGAUGUAUUUUUUUGAUUAACCAAUUGUUAGUGUUAAGGUAAUCACUAAAUAAAAAAUGUUUGAGAAAAUGUGAUUUGCGAUUUGACAAAGUUACGGAAAUUUUGUAACUAUUUUAAUUCAAAAUAAAAUAAAGUGGUAAAAAAAUAAUGUGAAAAUAUAAAGUAUUAUAAAAUAUUUUUUUUGCUCAUUAAUCUUUUUUUUAUUAAUCACAAAUUAUGUCAUAAUUUUUUUUUUGAAAACUUAUAUUUAAAUUGAUAGAAUUAUCACUAUAUCUCAAUAAUCUUCUAAGAUUAUACAAUACCAAGACUUUUUAUUUUUAAACUAUUUAAAAUAAUAAAAUUGUUUUGAUUAUUAAUCGAGAAAAAUAAUUGCUGACUACUUGAAGUACUGACCACCACAUGUCAACUAUGCACACUAAAUUAAUAUAUAUCUAGCUACACAAAAUAUAUGUUAUAUAUGAUAAUAUCUCUCAACUUAAUAAUAUUACAUAGUUAGAUUAAUUUUAUUAAUUCAAAAAAUGACAUGUUUAUAUCUCCGAAAUCGUGGACAACCACCUGGUUGUAAUAAUUCCCAUUAGUCUCUCGACAUAUCACACGUGUUUCCCACUAGCCUUUGAUCUUAUGUUGUAAUUUUAUGUUUGGGUUUUCUCUUUAAUAUAUCCUUUAAACAACAGCCAUUUAGGUUUAAUGAAAAAAAUUUGACAAAAAAAAUUCUGAUUAGCAGAUUUGACUACGAGAUUGAGUUUCUUCCGGGAUCUAAUUUGGAACAAGCCUCUCCUGUAAAUUAGAAAAAAAAAAUCGUCCAAAUAAGGUAGAAUUUUUUAUUUUUUUUUUACAUUUUCUGGUCUCUCUAUUUAUUGUCUCAGCUGAUGAACCAUCAACGGGUUUGAUCCGUCAAAAUUAUCAAUACUUUUAAAAGAAGAUUAUUUCUGACCUUUUUAUGUGUAAUGAGAAAUCUAAUCUAUUUUAUUAAUUUAUAGUUUUACUUUUAUCUACUGAUAAAAUGUUGUCACUUAAAAAUUUAAAAUGAGCUAACAAUACAUUUCAUUAAUGAUACAUAUAAUUACCUUUAUAAAAGUUGAAAUUGUUGACCAUGCAUAUGUAUAGUACAGAUUCAUGAUUUUUAGCAUAACCACUUCUAGGCCUGGAAUUUAUAACCGAACCAAAAUUUUCAAACCGAACCCAACCGAGAUUUGGUCUUUUUGGUUUCACUUCGGUUACUGCAACAGAACCGAUCGGCAGAAAUUUCAAACAUGUUCGGCUUGGAUUGGUUCGGCUUGGAUUGGUUUGAUGACCCUAAUGGUUAACUCAAACAAAAUCCUAGUUGACGAUGUUCUUUUGUUAAUUCACAGCUAAACCUAGAACGACUAUUUAAUAUUGUUUUAUAAAGUUUAGAUGGCUCAUCUAUAAAUAUUUGAUAAAAUCACAUCAAAUUGCCCAAAUGUUAAAUAUUAAAAUGACACACAUUUUUAUCACGUGCUUGUCUUCUUAAUUUUCAGCCCUAGUUUGUCCAGUCUUCGCUUUUCUUUUUGCUUGUUUUUUUGUAUCUCUUAACUACUCUGUUUCAUGAUCUCUAUCUUAUGUGUUAAAACAGAGAUUGAGCUGGUGGAUACACAAGAAUGCUCCGCACUCACAUACGACACGAGUUGGUGAUGCUGCACGAAUGGGCUUUAUCGAGUAUUCAUAUCUCUUUUCUGUAUUGUUCAUUUUGUCUAACACUUUACCGCAGUAUCAUACUGAAUUUGAGUCUUCUUUAGUCGCAAUUACGAAAAUAUGGAUGCUAUAUGUGUUUGAGCAGUAUUCGAUUCUUCUUCCUGCAAUAUCACAUUGAAUUUGAGUCCUUUAUGUGGUAUAAUGUAAAACAAAAUCCUAAUAGGGAAAAAGUUAGCUGAACCCUUAUUUAUCAAUUUAUUACUAGAUUAACUCGAAUUUUAUUUUAUUAAUAGUUUGUUAUAUCGAUUUUACCAUUAUUUUUUUGUUACAGAAAAUAGUAUUUACGAUUUUGCCAUUACAUAGACUUAUUUUUCAAUGAUUUAUGUAGUCACAAAUUUAUUUUCGACAUAUUUAUUUCUCUUUAGUCACAGAUUUACUUAAAUUUGACAGAUUUACUUAAACAAAUUUGUCAUGUUUUACCCACAAACUUAUUUCAUUACGACAGAUUUAAUGAUGAUUUGAAAAAUUUAACUUUUAUGUCCAUAAAUUUACGUAUGUGUAAAAUGUUAUGUUUUGAAAACCGGACCAGAUGUUGAUUCGACAUUGUCACUAGAUUGCUGGUCGGACCGGUGUACCAGUCGAACUGGGGUUUUAUAUGUAUAUAUAGUAUGUAUAUAUAACAUGAAAAUGUUAUAAAAGGAACUAGGAAUAAAACAUACUUUGAAAAACAGAUGCUAUGAAAGUAUAUAUGAAUUUUAGUUAUAUAUAUAUGACAAUAUAACUAACUAAAGAGGAUUUAUUUAAAUCAUAAGUUUCGUUUUAACUGAGAAUCUGUUUAACAAAUUUUGCUUUCCUUACUUUGAAGUAAGAAAAGUAAAAGUAGAAAUAUUUCCUAAACAAAUUAUUUGCAUUAAAUUGUAACGCAAAAUGGAAGUAAAUGAUGCAAUUUAGAAAACUGAAUUCUAAUAUUAAACAUGGUCUCUGGUUUUGCCAGUUUUCAACUGGUUUUAGCGCUUUAGGUCAUAUCUGAUUUUCGACUUAAACCGGACUCGGCUACAUAGCCGAUUCACAGUCAGAUCGGUUAGACUGACCGGUCCGGUUUUCAAAACCUGCUUAAAUGUGGUAUAAUGUCAAGCUAAAUUAUAAUAUACAUAAUCACAAAAUGUAACUUUCUUUAACUAUCUCAUCCAGCGCAGGGUGCGAAUCGCUACCUAGUCAUAUAUUACUUAUCAAAUAGGAUCAUAUAUUAAAUCUAAAUAAUAUUACUUACCACGAAACAAAUCAAUAAUUCCCAAAAUAUAGUACAGAUUCAAUUACUGUUUUGGUAUGUGAUUAGCUUUUUAAAAAUUUACUAUAUUAAAAUACAGUCCUAUUUAAACUCUACCAUGACAUAUUUUCUUUUGGACCUAUUCAAUAAGUUGGGACUAAAAUAUACACGCUCUACCUAUUUUUUAGUCUAUUGUUAAAGAUCGUUAUUAAAAUUUGGAUUACACUGCUCCUUUAUGUAACACAAGAUAUGAGCCCGUUGCGUUGUAACGGGUUUUGUGUGAUGUUUUCAUUUAAUAAAAACUAUAAAACAAGAAAUAAUUUUAUUAUAGUUUUAUGAUUGGUUUUUUUUUGCAUAUGUUGUUUGAGAUUUAUUUUAUAAUUAAAACUCAUUUUUACACAUAAGUUUAAGUUAAUAUUUGUAUUUUAUAGUCAUGGUAAAUAGAUGAAUUGUUAUAAACUUUGUACUUAGGAUUAGAUAAAAUACUAUAUCUAAACGUUUAAACUGAACACAACCCGAAAUAAGAAAUUGAAUGAAAAGUAAUGACAACAUUAAUGACAACAUUAUACAUGUUCUUAUGUAAUAAUUUAAUGUUUUAUUAGAUAAUUCUUUAAAAAUUUAUUUUGUUUGGAUUUUUUUUAAAGGAAAAAAUUCUAUUUUAUAAGAUUUUAGAAAAAGAAAAUUAUUAUCAUAUAACAUAUUAUAAUAAUCUUCUUUGUAGAAUUUCAGAAAAAAAUAGAUUGCUAUCAAAUAAUUAUUUUUAGUUACUAAUAAAGAAAAUUUACAUUUCGUAUCAAUACUAAUUUUACACUUCUUUUGUUAAUUAAAUAUAUUUUUGUAUCAUGUUCAUCAUCAAAUACUCUCUUAAAAAUAUUAUCAAAUAAUGUUUUAUAAUUUUCUUUUUAUUAGGACUUAAAAAUAUGAUACAACUUUUUUUUUUAGGAUUUUUUAUACAAAUAAGAAACAAAACUAUCAAAUACUCUUGCACAGUUUUUUAGGAUUUUAGAAAAGAAAAUUAAUAUUACAUAUUCUUUUACAAUUAUAUUUUUUCUAGGAUUUAGAAAAAUAAAAUUUCUAUCAAAUAAUUAUUUCCAGUAAAUAUUAACUAUUUUUAAAAGUUGUCAUUUUCAAAAUUCAUUUUUUCCAAUAUCACUAAUAUUUUUUACAAAUUUUCUUGUUAACUAAAUUUUUUUUUACUAUCAUAUUUAUCAUUAAUUUUUAUAAGUACAAAUUACUAUUAAAUAAAAUUUUACAAUUCUCUCUUGUCAGGAUUUUUUUUAAAAAGAAAAAAAUCUCAAUUGGUCAAGAUUAGAGAAUAAUUUUUUUUUUUUGAAAUCUCUUUUAUUUAGGAUUUUAGGAAAAGAAUAAGUUAUUUUCACAUAAUGACAAUUUUAUUGACAUUCAAAAUCUAUUUUUUUAAUUGACACAUGUCACAAUCAUAUCAGGUGAAAUAUUUGAAGUUAAUUUUGGUUUAUAUUUUUUUAACACAAAAUUAUUAAAAAGUAAAAUUAGUUAAUUAUAAUAAAAUUAAGAUUAUUUUUAUAUAUUUAUUUUAUUUAGACUUUUAAAAAGGAAAUUAAUUAUUUUAUAAUUAAUUUUAAAAAAAAAAUAUUUUUACUAUUAAAUAAUUUUUAAAAGUAGUUUUUAUCAAAAUUCGUUUUAUUAUCUUAUUAUAUAUAUUUUUAAUUAUUAUAUAUUUAAACACAUGUCACAAUAUUAUAAGGAAAAUUGUUAUCAAAUAGUAUUUUACAAUUAUCUUUUGAUUAAGAUUUUAAAAUAUGAAAAUUACUAUUAAAUAAUAUUUUAAUUAUUUUUUAAUAAAAUUCGCUUUUGUUAAUAUCUUAAUAUAUAUAUUUUUAAUUAUGAGAUAGAUUAACACAUGUCAUAUUCUUAAAAUAUAUAGUUGGCAUGUAUCGCGAUCAUGUUAAUUAAAAAUUUUGAAGAACCAAACUUUUAGAAAAGAAAUAUUAUAUUAAAUAAAUGGUUUUCAAUUUUUUUAAGGAUUUUGUAAAAAGAAAAUUUCUAAAAUAAUUACUACUAAAUAUUAAAAAAAAAAAUUAAAUGGUUUUCCAUUUUUUUAAGGAUUUUGUAAAAAGAAAACUUCUAAAAUAAUUACUACUAAACAUUAAAAAAAAUUACUAUUAAAGAAUUUUUAAAAGUAGUUUUUAUCAAAAUUCGUUUUUAUUAUCUUAUUAUAUAUAUGUUUAAUUAUUAUAUAUUUAAACACAUGUCACAAUAUUAUAAGGAAAAUUAUUAUCAAAUAGUUUUUGGCAAUUAUUUUUUGAUUAGGAAUUUAAAAAAGAAAAAUUACUAUUAAAUAAUAUUUUAAUUACUUGUUAAUAAAAUUCAUUUUUGUUAAUAUCUUAGUAUAUAUAUUUUUAAUUAUGAGAUAGAUUAACACAUGUCACAAUCUUAAAAUAUAUAAUUAUUAUGUGUCGCGGUCAUGUUAAUUAGCAAUUUUGAAGAACCAAGCUUUAUAUAAUAAGAUAUAAUCGAAUUUCUUAAUUAAAAACAUCACACUAAAUCAUCCUUCGGUUAUUCUACAGGUAAAAGACCAAUACAUAUUUCAAAUACUAAUUAUAUCAAUCAAACCACGACUAUGUUUAUCUUCUGACUUUAAUACUCACUAAAACUGGACAUCGCAUGAACCCAUAAAAUCAUAUUUGCUUCUCUUCCGCUCACGAACUACACCUACAACACACCAAAAUAUAUUCAGUUCAUAUUUGUCCAUAUUUAAUUUUACUAGCAUAGUAGCAUUCUAACAAUCUCUAUACUUACACGAGCUUUGAAUAAUACACCAUAUCACAAAGUAAUAGAUGGCAUGAUAUUUAAAAAAUGUCUAUAUAUAAUAAAAAUCUACAUACAAUCAAUUAGAUUGAAAAUUCUAACCAAUUUUUAUCUAUUUGAUCAAAUCUACACUAACGCAUCUUGUAUACAGUGUAUCCUCUAUCAACUUAAUUCAAAUUUAAACAUUUUCAAUUAUCUAUUAGAUAUUGACAUCUUAACUUUUUUAUAACUGAAUUGAGAAUAUGUCUAAGUCUAACGAUCCUCAAAAUUGAUAAAUGAAUAUGCUUAUCGAUCCUCCUAAUGGUUAGUAGUGUCUAAACAAAAUAAAUAAUCUUCCAUCCUCUAUACUUUCUGCACCUCACAAUCAUAAACUAAAAGGCAUAUGACAAUGGUGACGUCCAACAGAACUACUUUAUUGAAAGAUGUCAAACCAGACAAAACUGGAUGGAAGGUUGAGAUCAAAGUUCUGCAUUCAUGGACUCAGCACUCAUCUUAUGGUGGUGGAGACUCUCUUGAGUUCAUACGGCAGAUAAGACGGUAAGUGUACUAAUGUUUUAAGCGUUUAGUUUCUCUAUAACUUUAGUUUUGUAAAACUUCUAAAUCAAUGAUCUUUUUGUUCUUCCUUUUAAUCCACUCUCAUAAGAAGAAGAUAAAUAACAUGGACUGUUUGUUAUGAUUAGUAUUAGAAAACGAGCACGCAUGUAACCAACACAGAAACUGUAAAACCAUUUUGAGUUUUGGCAGUUUCAAACAUAAAUUACUUAUAAUCAGUGAGAUCAAUUUUGACGUUUGGGAUGAUAAAUAAGAACUAACAAACAGAAAUAGAGCAAGAAGAAUAACUAGAGAAUCAAGAAGAACUAAACAGACACAAAAACAUAAGAUAAGAAAAAACAGAGAACCAAGAAGUAAACAAAUACAUAAACAGAGAAUCAAGAACUAAACUGACGAAUAAACAGAGAAACAAAAAGAACUAGACAGACACAUAAACCGGGAAUCAAGCACUAAACAAACAUAUGAUAGAACAUGCAAAACAAUGUGCAAAGGUUUAAUAACUAACCGUUAAUUUUAAGGGGUUUUUUUGCAUCAAUAUCGAGUUAACCUUUGCCUCUGUUUCUUCAAUAUAUCCAAAUGUGAUAAAACAUUCUACGAAAAAGAGAUUACAUAACAAAUUAGUUAAUUAAUAUAUCAAUUAGAACAACAAAAUAAAUAAGAAUACGAGACUUAGCUUUGUAUGUUUGUUGGAGCAUAAUUUCUUAAAGUGGAUAUUUCUUCUCUGGUUCACAACAACUUCUACCGAUUAAGAGCAUCACUAGCUUUACAUGAUACACAAACAAAUACAUUAAAACCAUAUGCCUACAGAGAAACACAUAAAACGAUAAUCACAAUCAACUAUAUCAGACUAUAUACUUUCAUGAUCUCAAUAUCUAACUAUCAUAUGUAAUUGUAGCUCAACCAGAUGCUAUACCUUUUUAAGUCUGUACAGAACCCGCAAUAAGGCCUUCAAAUUGGUAAAGUUUGCUUCUUAUCUUCAUUGAAACAGAUUUUUCUUAAAUAUGUCUCGACAUAUACGUAUAACACAAAUCAAUUCUAUACAUGUAAAAUGUAUCAUAAUCUAAAUUAGGCAUGACAAAUUUAUCCAGAACCGAAGAACUAGACCGAACCCAAAAUGUAUACGAACGGAUCAUAUACUCUAAAACUAAAGGACCAAAACUGAAUCGAAACUGAACCAAGAACCGAAUGGUUAUCCACAUUUUUGUAAUAUAAUUUACAUAUGUAUAAAUAUUAACUAUAUUUAGUUUUAAAAUAAUCAAAAUUAAAAAUUAUAUUUAUAAACAAAAUACACAAAAAGCUGAAUUACCGGAAUAAUUUUAUCAAAAUAUAAUAUUAACUGAAUAAUCCAAUUUUUUUUAUCCGUAAACAAAGAAAAAACUGAUAUUUAAUCAAAAAGACACCCAAAUUUUAUGACUUUUAAUCCAAAUUAACCAAAAACUUGAACAUUGUCGGAAUCGAAUGGAUUCUAAAUUAAUCUCAGGUAUUAGCCGAUUCUUACUUUUGUUACCCAAACUAAAAACAAAAAAAAAACAUGAACCAGACCCAAAUUGAAUUUUCUAAAUACCCGAACGGAUUUUAAACCUCUGAAUCAAAUCGGAACCAAAAUCAAGAACCAAAUGCACAUGACUAAUCUGAAUAAUUUUAAUAAAGAUUUGACAAAAACAAUAUCUGCAGACAGCGCGGAUCCGUAUCUAAUUGUGUUUAAAUUGGACAAUAAUCCAACUAUGACAAGAGUCGUAACAGAUAACAAUAUACUCAAAAGGUAUAUGUAACUACACAAACUGUAAUAAGAAUCAAGAAAACUAAACGAUUUUUAAAAGUAUGUCUAAAUUAGAUAACAAAACAAAUAUGCCACAAAAUCGUAACAAUGUAGUCAAAAGUAAUAUCUAUCUGCACAUUUUUUUUCUUUUUUUUUUGACAGCAAGAAACAUUUACAGACUCAUAUAGACUCCGUAAACCAAUGUGGUAACUCUGCAUCUAUGUGUACGACGAAAGACGGUUGUGUCGGAGCAUUGUGUGCUAAGCGAUUCGCCUUUAUGUUUGCCGUCCUAGGAACAUGAACAAUCUCUGAGUUAGUAAAGCUUUUUCUCAAAAACUUUAUAUCAUCCAGGUAGCUUUCAAAUGCUGGUCAUUCUUCUGGUUCCGAAACCAUCUUCACCAAUUGAGAACAAUCUGUUGCAAACGUGACCCGAUACUGUCUUAAGUUCUUCAUACAUUCCAUUGUCCAAAUUAAUGCCUCCAACUCCGCAUGAAGAGGUGAGAGACUUGCCCUUACAUUUCUUGCCCCUAACAAACCCUCAAACCCCGGUAAGGUGCUGAACCAGCCUUGUCCUGAAAAAUAAUCUUUAUCUUUCCAAGAACCGUCAGUGAAACACCAUCUUCAUGUAGUCUCUGAGUACCACCCUGGGAUUAUUUACAACUUGUGCCUCAGCCCAAAGUGUUGAUUCCAAUUCUGCUAAGUUAAGCGUUUCCCUCGGAUCAAUAUCAAUAUUACUGAAAACUUUGUUAUUCCAACCCUUCCAUAUGUACCAUAGGAUCCAUGCAAACUGAUGAUCCUCCAUUUUUGGAUUAACUAUCCAAAACAGAUGAUCCAUAUUAGCAAAAAUAGAGCCAAAAGGAAAAAUGUUUGGGUUCGAUGGAAUCUUAGAUAGUGCACACACUUGACGUACCGGAGGACAUUCGAAGAACACAUGAUUUAUUCAUUCCUCCGGGUCCCCACACCGUGCACAGCUUAUAUCUCCUUGUAUUUCUCUUGAUUUUAAAUUUUUUUGUCACUGCUAUACAACAUGUCAGCAGCUGCCAUAAAAAAUGCCUUAACUUUGGAGGGAACUUCACUUUCCAGCAGAAUGCCUUAAGUACGUCCACAUUGGGUCCAUAAAAUUCUGGUGGUUUUUCCUUAUCAGGAUAUAUCCUUUCUACUUGAUACCCUGAUUGUACUGUGUAUCUCCCAUUAUUAGUGAAAUGUCAUCCAUUCCUAUCAUCCAUCUGAUUUCUACUCAGAGGAAUACUUUCAAUCAUUUUUGCAUCGCGGGGUUCCACCAAAGUCCUAAGUGCCUGUAAAUUCCAUUAUCGGGAUUCCUGAUGGAUGAGGGAAUCCACUGUGAGGUCCGGGUAACUGUUAUGAAAGUUUUUGUUUGCUGGUCUCGGGUGAGUGGAUGAGAUCCAAGGGUCAUUCCACACUGAGAUAGAUGAUCAUGUUCCAACCCUUUUAAUUAGUUCUUUACAAACCAGAGAUCUAACAGAGAUAAUACUCCUCCAGCCAUACGACGGGUAAUAUGAGCGAAUCGUUUCUAGGGGUGAAGCAUUCCUGUAGUACCGUCCUUUGAAAAUUCGCGAAAAAAGAGAAUUUGGCUUCUCGAUCAGCCUCCACAAUUGCUUUCCCAACAUUGCCGUAUUAAAAUCAGUCAAAUCCUUGAAGCCUAGCCCACCAUUAUCCUUAUGGACACAUAAUUUAUCUCAUGAUUUCCUAUGCACACCCGUUGUACUUCCUCAUAGGCUCCACCAAAACUGAUCUACUGCACUCGUUAGUUUCUUCACUGUAGCUUUCGGUAGCCGAUACACCGACAUCACAUGGUUUGGCAGAGCCGUGAUCACCGACUUAAUAAUCACCUCUUUUCCCCCUUUUGUAAAAAAUAUAAAAGUUCAUCCAUUCACCCUAUUAUUCAGACGAUCUUGUACAAAACCAAACACUUGGACCUUGAAACCUCCUAAACUUUCUGGCAAGCCUAAAUAAGAACUCAUUCCUCCUAGGUUCUGAAUCCCCAAAAUAUCUCUCAACUCUUGACGGCUGGCUUCCUUAAUCUUAUGUCCAAAUUGAAUUGAGGAUUUCUGAAAAUUAAUUUGUUGCCCUGAGACAGCCUCAUAAUCCUUUAGUAUCCUGAGAAUAGCUUGGCACUCUUUUUGUUUGUCUUACAAAAGAACAAACUAUCAUCUGCAAAUAGCAAAUGAGAAACUGCUAGACACGCUCUUGCAACCUUCAUACCGGUUAAUUGUUUCAUCCUCUCUGCUUUUUUUAUAUUUGUAAUUAAAGCCUCAGUACACAUAAUAAAUAAAUAAGGAGAUAAUGGAUCCCCUUGACGUAAUCCCCGCUGAAGUAUUAUAAGGCCUCGUGGUUGCCCAUUGAGAAGAACUCUAUAUUGAACUGAGGAUAUACACCCUCGCAUUAAUUUAACCCAAUGAAGGUCAAAUCCCAUUUUAUGAAGAAGAGCCUCAAUAAAAUCCAACUCUAUUCGAUCAUAUGCCUCACUCAUAUUCGUUUUAAUUGCCAUUCACGUAUCACGUUAAAUAAAAAACUAUGUGUUUUAAACGUGAGAUGUUAUAAGCUUAAGCAUAUUGUACAAGUUAUUGCAAGAUUUUAUUUAGAUUUAUAAUAAAUUAUGAUAAUAAAACAAUUUGUAUAAAACCAAACUGUUACGUAAUAAUGUUGAACAAUAUAAAUUUAUUAAUAUUACAAAAUAUAUGAUAUAAAAUCUUUAUAUAUAAAAUUGAUUUGUGUGAUGCACACAGCCUUCCACAACACCACAACAGGUUGGGGCUUUUUUCGACACCUGUUAGCUCCAGAGUAGAUCGGUGUGGCCACGUUCCCUCCUCCUUCUCGCGCGCGUCGUGUUGUCUGUAUCAUCUUCUCAACAUCAACAAUCAAAGAUCAGUAGCCGACAGUUUCAACUUUCAUUAAUACAAACGUAAAGCCCAGUUUUAACGUGAUUUACCCCACUCGUCUCACUCUCAAGCAUUCAAUCAACCUCAUCAUCUCCAAAGUAACCGAUGGAAACUCAAACUAUAAAUCCCCAAGCUCUCAGAGAUGAACAACCUCAGCGAAAUCGAGAAGAAUAGUCUUUUCUGAUUACCAACUCCGACAAUCUCAUCACCUUACCGGUUGAGAUGAGCUCCGAAACGUUGGCGGCUGGAGACGGCGGCGAAACGAGCGCUGGGCCAGCACCGGCAUACGACAAACAGAAGGAGAAGGCGCGCGUGAGCAGACCGUCUCUGAUCCUGUGCCACGACGCGCACCAGAACGACGCAUCUGCAGUCUGGAAACUCCUGGAGAAAGAUCAGUCUCUGGUUCACGCCAGAGAUUACGACAGCCAAACGUCUCGGGUGGAUCGAUGUUGUUAAAUGUCUGAUCGAGUUUGGUGCUGAUGUCAACGCUCAGGACAGGUGGAAGAACACGGUACACUCUUUUUUUAAAUGUUAUUCGGUUCUUUUAUCUCUUUAUAUCAUGUUUGAUCUGAAACUUUUGUUGUGUGUGUGUUUUGAAAGCCUCUGGCUGAUGCAGAAGCUAAUAUGAGCUAGGAAGCAGAAAAUGAUCGAGCUACUCAAAUUUCAUGGCGUUUUAUCUUAUGUGAGUUUUUUUAAUAUCAAAGUUAUAAACUUUCAUUCCUCGAGGUAGAAAAAUUGCUAUGAAAUAUUAAAAGAUUAUUGCAAUAAAUUUAGGAACUUUCUCUGUGAAGCAAAGCAGCCUGCUUUAAUGCGUGUGGCUGAUUGAAUUUUGUCUACGCAGGGUCAAAACGGAAGUCACUUUGAACCAAAGCCUUUGCCACCACCAAUUCCAAAGAAGUGUGACUGGGAGAUUGACCCUGCUGAGCUGGAUUUCUCAAAUGCAGCCAUGAUUGGAAAGGUUUGUGUAUUCUUUUUGAAUCAAGUUUUGAUCAUAGGUGAUCGAUCCAUAGUCUUGAGUUUGUUUAGUUCAGUGCAGUGGACUAAUUGGAUCUUUGGUCACAUUUUGUUAGGGUUCAUUUGGUGAGAUUGUGAAAGCCUAUUGGAGAGGAACACCAGUGGCUGUCAAACGUAUUCUUUCUUCUCUUUCAGAUGAUAGACUGGUUAUGUAAGUUCUUAUUUCUCUCUUUUGAGAUUAGCUGAUACCUUGGUAGAAGUCUGUCCUAAGAUUCUUGUGUAUUCAUACUGUAGACAAACUCAAAACAAGAUAGAUUCUGCUCAUAAGAGCUUAUUGACACAGAAAAUGAAAUAGCUUUAAGAAGCUUUAUUGUGCAAUGAAACUAAAGAAAGGAAGAAUCUUUAUGCUUGUCACCAAGAUAAGUAAGAUUGUAAAUGAUUCAUAAAUAUGAAGGGAGAGGCUGCAUUCAACGCAGCCUUCGUUACAUUGCAAAGUGACCUUACACAGAUAUUUAUAUCAACUCAAUAUGCUAGAAAACCUAGAUACAAUGAGCUUAGAUAAUGGGCUUCCGGUCUUUAUUUGGGCCUUGCUAAUACUCCCCCGCAAACUUAGCGUGGAUGGAGCAGCUACGCUGAGUUUGAAAGCACAGAUGGAUAUGGCUUGAAAUGAGCAUAAGUAGAUGAAGUAGGAUGCUUGAGAUGUUAGCAAAUGGUUCUACUCACCAUUGUAGACAAACAUUAGUGUGAGAUCUAUUCAGACCUAUACUUGGAGAGUAUCACAUGGCUUCACUCAGAGGUUUCUCUUGAACUUGGAGAGCUUAGUUGAUCUCACUCAGAGGUAUAAUUGUGGCCUAUUUGUCUCACUAUGAAUCUAGGUUUACUUUACCCAUUUCAUCCUUCUAAUGUGUCUAAUGAAGAACACUCUUUCCACACCUACCAAAUACAACUAUACUCACUCUCUGCUUCCCAUCAAUAUCACCAAAAUUCUGCCUCUAAACAAACUGACCUUCUUGUGAGCAUUUCAGCGAGCACUUUGUGUGCAUUAGCAUUAAAGCCAGAGCUUCCACACGCAACAAACCCAAACCUGCCUAUUUCAUUAUAGCUUCGGUUCCAAACCUAUCUUAACCCAAG
This 48368-nucleotide long non-coding RNA is filed under the name Brassica napus (rape). RNAcentral describes it as "long non-coding RNA (BNAP_LNC020461)". The record is from RNAcentral. Lineage: Eukaryota; Viridiplantae; Streptophyta; Magnoliopsida; Brassicales; Brassicaceae.